UUUUUUUUUCCUGUGUUGUAUGUAUACUGUACCACUUCUCCAUGAUGUUAUUCAAUCCCCCACCAGCUGCCUGGCUGGAAAUUUCCUGUACUGUACAGCCCCACAAGAACACAAUUGACUUGGGGCAGGGAAGUUGACAAAAAGCCAAGAACCCUAAAAAUCCCCACCACAACCAAACAAAACAAACUUGCUUGCUUGUGAAUGAUUGAUUGAUUGAUUCAUACGUUCUCAAAGGGCACCGCCAGCCCACUGAAAAAUCUUGUUCACCAUCCUCUUUUUAUACAAAGGAGAAAAAGAAAGCACAGGAAUCCCAUCCAGAAAACCUGCUCCAUCACCAAAAUUUUUUGAAGCUCCUUGCAAUCACAAACAAUGUGAUCCCCCCACGCCUAUGUACACAGCUCCAGCCACAAUCGACCUUCCUCUUGUGUUCUUCGAGCCCAUGAAGAUCAAAAGUAAAAAACCACGGCCCCCCAAAACUUUGAUCUUCGCAAACUCCUGCAAUCGAAUCGAGCAAAAGAGAGGAAGAAGAUCACGCGGCAGCUGUGAGGAGGCAAGUGUUGUCUUCCUUGUUCCUGUUCUUGCCGCUAUCACCGCCAGCGCCAUCGUUGUUGCUGCCACUCCCAUCGAUGCAUUCCCUGUAAGCCCUGUGAAGAAGCUUGAGCAGAUCCCCGGCCUUGUGCUUGGUCCUUGGAUUACACCCAAUCUGGAGGAAGAAGAAGAGCUUGGGGAACAAACCCACCUCCACCAUCCUCCUCUUGACGAUCUCAUCCGGGCAAUACUUGCAAACCGCCCACAGCACAUCGAUCGCGUACUCGGUCGCCAUAUCCGACACCUUGAACAGCUUCCGCGCCACCGCCGGCACCGCCAGCGCGUGCCGCGCCACCGCCGCCCGCCCCUCGGCGCAGCCACACAGGCAUUCCAGCGCCGCCAGGAUCGCCUCGGUGGUCACCUUGUCCGCCUCCACGAGAAGCUCCGCCAGCGGCGCCACCACGCCCGUCUCCACCAGCCGGACCCUGUUCUUGAGCGGCGGGCACACCGCCAGCACCGCGCGGAGGCUCCCCCGGAUCGCUGGGCGGUGGCGCCGCUGGGAGUGAUCCUCGCCCACCAGGCGCACCAAUCCCUCGAAGAUCCCCGCGGUGGCGCCGACCGCGCCGCGCGCCUCCUUGUCCGCGCAGCACAGCUCCUCGAUCAGCGCCGCCGCCGAGACCCGCGUGUGGAGAUCGCCCCUCUGGAGGAGCCGGGCGAUGGCGGCGAGAUUGCGCGGGGAGAGUAGCUCCUUGCGAGAGGGCUCGUCGAGAUUCGCGAUGAGCGGCGGGAGGAGGGAGAGGAUCUGGGCUUGCGAGUCUUCCUCGUCUUGCUCUUGGCCUUGAUCCUCCGAGAAGGACGAUACCAGCACUGGCGCUAGCCCCGCCCGGAUCAAGAGCGUCUUGCUCCUCUCCUCCUGGCUCCUCGCGAUCAAUCGCUUCACCGCCACGGGGCGCGAGCGGGGGAUUCGCAGCUGGGCGACGAGCACUUGCGCCUCGCGGAGAUCCAUGGGCUGCUCGCGAUCGCCCCGUGCGCCACUCUGGAAUCGAUUCGCGGCGCACCAGCCGUGGAUGAUCCUCUGGAGCGUGUGAUUGGGGAUGAGCUCGUGGGAGUGGAGCUCCUGCAUCGUCACGGGGCACGUCCGGCGGCCCUCCUGGAACCACUUCUCGAUGCUGGAGCGAUCGUAAGUGAUACCCGUGCACACGCUCACGGGAUCGGCCAUGAGGCACAGGGAGAUCGGGCACUUGAAGUGCGAUGGAACCUCGGGGUGAUGCUUGCGCAGCGUUUCCUCCUGCUCGUCGAGACCCAUUUCGCGGACGGUGAUUUGGGGGCGACCCACUUCCCGAUCAUCAAGAACGAGCACCGCCCAGGCCCGCAAUCGAUCCAAAUCCCCCCUUUUGCCGAGCGUGGCGAUGGUCGAUGGCCCCAAAUCCAAACCCGAGUCGCAAACGCUCGGAGAUCUUUGCCUGCAUUUAACGAUCCUGGGCUGGGCUUCUUGCCAGGAAUCCCCAAGAUCACACACACGCGGUACGAGUGGAGUAGCGCAAAAGAUCGCUGCUCGCGCUCGUGGAAGGAAGGAGAAGAGUGGAAGAACCCUAAGGGAAAAGCCUGUGGAAAAAAGGGGUGGAAAUAAAAACGAGCUUUUUUACCGAGGGUGGUAAAUUUUGGUGCGGUGCCGGUGGUGCCUGCCACCGCACAGCACUGACUUUUGCCAUGAAUGCCUCCUCCCCGCUUUUAGCGGGUCAAUGCCGCGUUUAAUCGCGGGUUUUUCCCCCGGGUUUAAAGCGAAGUCAACUUUGCUUAAACCGGGUCGAGAUUUGACCUGGUACCGAAGUCUCCGCGAAUGGAUCGAUUCCAUUCCAUCCAUUCGAUCGAUCCAAGUCUUUUUAGGGCUCUUUGCGUCGCUAGAUUUUUCCACUAUUUUGGAGAGUGGAGCGGUGGUCAGUCAAUUGGAUGAUAUGAAAAUGAAACCUUGGAACGAUUCACGAGACGUUGAACCAAAGAAAGAAUGGAAUAUGAAAGUAUAGAGUAUCGUUUAUCUAUACUACCUACAUGAUGGAUUUGUUUAGAAUUAAAACCAUGGGGGAGGGGUGUUUUACGACGACUUUGCUCCCAAGCAAAUGCCGGAAAGCCUGUUGUUGUGCGAUUUGUUUGAUGGUUUCCACAGCUUGGGUUCGAAGCACCUUGCUCGAGACACAGCAAACAAACAGACAGACAAAAACAAUGGCAGGGCCAAAAGCUCGUCGAGCAAGCAAGCAAAAUGCCCGCAAACCAUAUUAUCCUCGUGAGUGGAAACUCUAAAGCCAAAAAAUCAAUCCAUUCCAGGAGAGCUUUGUCCCUUGGUGAUCAGAUGGUUGUCCAGGAAACCGAAAGAUUUUAAGAUAUCAAAGGUCGGUUUUUCCCUUGCUUUUGCGUACGGACUUUUCCGAUUUCUUCUAUUCCCCCCGGGCCGUACGGGCCAAAGCUGUGCACUCAUUCACGGAAUCAAUGAAAGCUAAACAAUGCCAAACCAAGGACGGGGACUUGAUCUCGCGCAUUGUUUGCUUUCUUCCCAAAGACAUGUUGACAUUGUCAUCCUCCUCACGGACAGACAAAACCAUAGAAAAAUCAUUCUUUUCAAUAGGUGGUACCUCAAGCAAAGUAUAGGGGGACUGAUUAGAGAAAAACCAAGCUUCCAGAACCUGUGCUAAUUUACAAAGGUGAUUCACAAGAAUUAUUGUGGCUGCUCCAAGAAUCAAAGGGUGAAUGGCAUGUUGAUAUCGAAGAGAUUCGCGGAUGUAAGUUGUGGCUCCUGUAUCCAAGAGUUAUAGAUCGUAGGCUAUACGAGUUUCUAGAAAAGAGAUACGAACCUGCGUUAAUCCACCAGCGACGCUUCCACCGGUUAAAAGCAUUCCUAUAAGAGUUGUCACACCGCCCCCGCCGAUCCCUCCCGAGGAGGUAUUCGCGUUCCGGAUAGCCUGACGCAUCCCAUUCAAGACACUUCCAUAAGUUUUAUGCCCGUGCUCAAUGGCCUGGAUAAAGCAAUAAGUCAUAGCUCCAGUCGAAGUAACUUUCGACAAAGCCUGCAAGUAGAACAAGAUUUAGCUGCGAGCCUACGAAACUUUGCGACAGAACAUACAGAAGUAUCGGCCGAAGUUUGCCCGUCGUCACAGCCACUGAAUGAGAACGCGUCGCCGCCGCCGGUACCUUUCCAAGCCCCGGAUCGAGGCCGAUGAUCUUCCCAAGCAAACUGGCCAUAGCUGCAAGAAACGAGAAGAAAAAAGAGGCCUUUUGAGAGACUUUUGCGUAAAUCCCAAGUGAGGCAUACCUGUUAAACUUGCAGAGGAAGGGAAGAUCCAGCGCAGUCCCGCUGUGGCAAGCAUCGAUAAUGCAGUGGAGCUUCACUCCACGAGGCAAAGGCCUGACUAAAGUCGCGUUGAGCUCGUUGUCCACGAGCAUUCCUUGCGUCUCAAAGUCCACGGGACAAAGCGUCUCGUCAUAUCCGUCAACCUCUUCGCCCGUGUAGUCCCGCUGCUGCGAUCCAUGGCCGGAGUAGUGAAAGACGAGAGAAUCUCCCGACUUGCACCCCUGGACGAGCCAAAACAUUGCCAUCCUCAUGUUUUGCUUCGUGGGAAGUCGUAGAGGGUCUCUCUCUUCCUCUGGAUCAUCACGAAAAAACCAACUUUCAGAAAAUACCAAAGAGUCGAAUCAAAGUUACCUGUGAGCAUGAGGAUCGAAGACUCCGGGAACUGGAACUUGUUCAUGAGCAAGAACUUCAUACACUUGGCGUCAUUGAUGCAACCUUUGAGCUGGUAUCGCGAGUACUUGUAGCUGAUCCCGACGAUGAGCGCUCGCUUGGAUCCAUGAGCGCUGGGAACACUCGGGGAGUACUGGAGGGGAUUGGCAGGAGGAGCUCCAUUCGAGUAUGGCGAUGGUGGGACGUUGCGAGGCUCGGCGAUGUGAGUGACGGCAUGGCAAAGCGCACAGCGAAUGGCCUUCGCUCCAGCCGGGAGUUGCAAAGGCGUGCGGCAAUUGCUACAAUUGACGAGCAUGUAGGACGCCAUCCAGCAAAAAAUUCCUCCAAAAACACGAUCGAGGAGCUAGAAAUAGAACCAAGAAAAAUCCUCGAAGAGCUAGAACCAAGACCCAAAUUCACUGCUGCCCUGGAAGCGUUUCUCAACGAUCUAAGUGAUCCCUAAAGAACCCCAAAUUCUCUCUGCCGCGAUCGCACUGCCUCUAGGCUUACCUCGCCUUGAUCCAUCGCAUCGCUCCCCACAACGAGCGCCACAUAGGAGGACCUCUAAAGAUCGCCUAGGGGUAUCUCCCGACGCGCACAAAUGGAAGGAUCCACGAAUCUAAGCGCCUAGCUACACGAGAAACACCGUCCGAUCUGACGCCCCGAAUAUUCCCAAAAUAUGAGAAUCACCCAGAUCCAUGACCUAGAUUCCCACAGAAAGGUAUAUUAUCAGGAAUAAUCUCUUCUGUACAAAAGGUAUAUUAUUAGGAAUAAUCACGGUAUGUUCAUUUUUAGGGCUUUUCUUUUAUUAGCGAAAAGUUACUAUUCGUAACGUUUGACUUAGUGCGGCACAUGUUUCCCAGGGAGUGGCCACAAACAGUCACGAGACCGGUCAAAGAUUUUGGCCGGUCAAUCCGGGCCGCGUCAAAUCAAAACACUUAAAGCACGCGCCUGUAAGCUUCGCUCCAUGCUUGCUCUGCGGCGGCGACGCUAUAAAAACGAAAAAUCUCAACGAUGCUGGAGCACUGCGAGACCCAAUCAGUUAGAAGAGCGCCCGAGAAAGAGAAUUCUAUCCAUUCCCUGAUUCGAUCGAUCGAUUUGGUGGUCAGAAGAUAGAAGCUUUGGAUGAAAAUGGCGCCAGGAUCGAUUGCCGGCUUGCUGCUCUUGAUGGCGCUGGCUCUGUCCAUGCCUGGGAUGGAAUGCUCGCGGUUGGAGCCUCGGAAGAACAUCGAGGAGCGAUCGCCAUCGGGUCUUGAGCUCCGGAGCAAAUUCGUAGCGCCCUCCGGCCCCAAUCCGGGGGGGAAUGCCGCGAUCCUGGGAGGCAAGAAGGAGGUCUCUCGAUCGACGCUCAUUGGGGCCAAAUUCGAUGCUCCAUCAGGCCCCAAUCCAGGGGGGAAUCGCUUCGCUCAAGGCGCCAAGCUCGAGAUCGAGCUGGGCAGCAAGAUGCCCAAGGGAAACUUCACCCCCAAUCCAGGACCCAGCAAGGAUCACAAUGCGCAGACGAUGGGCUCGUCGUCCAGAGUGGCGAUUAGCAGCAAAUUGCCCAAAGGCAGCACGCCGGGCUCGAGCCCCAGCCCGGGACACAACUCGGUGUCUAGAAUGCUCAAAGUUCCAUCGCCGCCAUCCUCCAAGAUCGCCUGCACCGACGGCCUGGAUUCCAGCUCCAGCUUGCUUGCAACGGCCCAGAUCUUCUCCCAUAAUUAAAGGGGAAAAGGAGAUCCAAAACAACAUUUUUUGUAGGAGUAUGAUGAUCUUGAAAACGUGUACAUUUCAGUAAAUACGAAAAAGUGCAUAUAUGUAUAAUUCUCGGAGUUAAUUUCGAGAUCUAGCUGGUAGAGCUGAGUUCUUGAGAUUGUUCUUACUUCUCUGGUUCUAGAUUCAUCGAAGCUUUAGAAAUCUCUCCACAAAGACGUGAUGAAAUCGACGCUCUCGGGAAAAUUUACAAGAACAUUAUGAAUGGAUUUUCAACGAGAAGGAGACUCUCGCAAAAACUGUGGUUUGUUCAUUGCGAGUUUAGUUUUAAUGUCAAGAGCUUGCAGUAGAAACCAAGGACGAGGAUCAUGCUCUUGCAAAAAUGGUUCUUUAUCAGCGAUGCGCAGGCAAAAAGCAAGAUCCUAUAACUUUUUCGCUAACCAAAGGAAGAACAAAGUAAUAGCGAAGGAUCCAGUCGCGGGGACUACGAGAAUACAAAGUCUGUACGUUUUUGCGGUUUUAAACGCUUACGAAAGCGAAGUUUCCACCACAGGGACACGACACCAAGAUCGUGUCAAGGAAUCGAUGGAAAACUGGGAAGAAAGUGAACUUCCUAGAACUGAUCGAUUGUUUAGUUUCUUGUCUACACCCAGAUUGGAACGACUGAUAACUGGAAGUCAUGGAGUGGCUCCACGAGAGAAAAGUAUAAAGAAGAAAGAACGCGCCGAUUUCUCGUUGCUUGAUUCAAGUACUACGGUAGGUUUGUGUAGUUUUUCUUCGUUUCACGAUUAUUAUAUUGGGAGAUCGAGGCGCAGACAAACUUGAAGUUGUAGAUUGAUUCGAAAGACACAGGAAAUCCCGAGCAGGACGUAGAAAUGCUGGAAGCAUCGAAGAAGAGCUCGAGUGGGAUGAGAAAUACGAACGCAAGAACAAAGGGGGAACAAACCGCGACAUGGUUGAAAGCAUUUGGACGAACUUCGAGGAAAUCAAACCGAAGGUUUUAUUUCUUCGCCGAGGAUAUGAUACAAUCUUAAUAAAAUGAAUCAAUAUAUGUAUAAGAAUUGAUAUUGAUCACAUCUCGUUGAUCGCCUGGGGGUGGUAGUAGCACAUCUCCCUCCACACAUACUCCCGCAAGUUACUGCUCGUGUCGACCAUUUGAUCCUCCAUGACAUCCGGAGGGAUGAUAUUGUCCGGACGAAACUGGUAGACAUCUCCAGCGUGAUUGUCGUGAACCAGAUUGAAGUACGGAUGAUCCAGCGCCUCCGACACGGUGAUCCGCUCCUUUGGAUCGAAGGCAAGCAUCCUCUCGAUGAGCUGCAACGCCUGCGGAUUCGCGUGUGGAUAGAGGCGAGACAAUGGAACUCUCGGCGUUGGUGGCAAGGAGCGGAUGUAGCUUCGAGCUUUGUGGUUGCUGAUGAACCCGAGCUGGCUCUCCUUGGGCGAUCCGAUCACGUCGAUGAUGAGCUUGAGCUGGUUGAUGUAGUUCUUGCCUGGGAAGAUCGGCUUUCUCCCCAGGAGCUCGGCGAAGAUGCAUCCCACGGACCAGAUGUCGAUGGCGCUGGUGUAGUCCUCGCACGAGAGGAGGAGUUCCGGAGCGCGGUACCAGCGAGUGACGACGUACUCGGUCAUGAACUGGCCUUUCUCUCGCCCGGUUCUCGCGAGGCCGAAGUCGGCGAUCUUGAGAUCGCAGUUUGCGUUGAGGAGUAAGUUGCCGGGCUUUAAGUCGCGGUGGAGAACGUUGGCCGAGUGGAUGUACUUGAGACCACGAAGCAGCUGGAAGACGAAGAACACACACACGUCAAUGAAGAAAAAACAAAUUUUUACGACGGUAGAAACUAGACGGACUGGGAACAGAGGAUUUUCAUGAGAAAAAAGCAUGAUUUUGAUGACUGAAAAUCGAAGGACAGCAUAGAACUAAGUAGAUGAGAUCGCGGAGGAGCUGGGACACAGACCAAAACUUAAGAAAAACUGAUUUUGCGACGUAUGGUAGAACCAAACGAGCCAUACUUGGAUCAAACAACUUAGAGAACAUAACAAGACGUAGGAAAUACGGAGAGAUAACAAGAAAAAAACCGAGCUGAAAACGAAGGACUAUAACCAGGCACAGCUAAACGAGGAAAGGAAACAAGGAAGAGUACCUGAUAGAUAAAGAACUGGUAGUGCUCGUCCGUGAGGGGCUGCGAGGAGCGGAUGAUCUGGUGCAAAUCCGUGUCCAUGAGCUCGUAAACCAGGUAGACAUCGUUGAAAGUGUAUCUCCCGACGGGCUUCAUGAUAUCCAGCAGCCCCACCACGUUUUCGUGCUGCAAGUACCGCAGCAGUCGCAUCUCCCGCAAAGUUCUCAGCGCGUCGAUGGAGUUCUCGAAAGCAUUCCCAAUCUUCUUAAUGGCAACCUUGUCCCCGGUCUCCAGAUUAUCGGCCGAGCACACCACUCCAUAAGCUCCCUUCCCCAGCGGACGAAUUGGAACAUACUUGGUGUCGAUCUCAAACAAGCUGUGCCACAGCAUGUAGUAGUGCUUGUCUGGAGGGCAGUAGCCAUUUGGAGGAUCCAUCUUGGUUGCCAUAGCUGUGAGAGUGAGAGACCUCUAUCUCCUUGAGCGAAGGCUCUCUAUCUCGGCUUGAGACCUCUACCUCUCGUUCGUCCGUUCUCUCGAACAGAGAGAAAGAGAGCGAGAGAUCUAGCCGAAGCUGCUGCUGCUGCUACAAUUUCCCCCAAGUUUCUUUCCUCUCCCAAUUCGAGCUCUGGCUGAGAUCUGAUACUACUCGGUUUACCUCUUCUUUCGUGGCAGCCAGUGGCUAGUUUGCUCGCCCACGGCACUCCUGGAAAAAAAGGAUAAAUAGGCCUAGAGAUGGAAAGAAAACGUAGUGACCGUGUCAAGAAUACUGCGCAGCUAAACACGAACGCUGGAAAGGACUGUGGGCGAGGAGAUUAGUUUUCGCACUUUUCUAUCGAUUUUAAUUGCGUUUGUUGGAAAGACUUACUCACACUCGUCGUCUGGAGACGCACGAGCAUUUUGUACAGGGGCGCCGAGGGCCACAAACAAAAAUAACACGCUAAUACAGAGAGACACAGUCGUGGCUAUGGCGAUGGCGAUGAAAUGGGGCCGCCAGGGAUGGCGAAGUUGGAACCAGUAUGCGCAACACAACAACAACGAAGAAAAACCAUCUCGAUCGCGUUCUUGGGUUUACCUCUCAGGUCAGAGGAGGAAACCAACAAAGAAAGUGGAAGGAAGAAAAAAAAUAACUUGGGCAAAGUCAAAAAAGCAGUAUCGCAAUCUUACUCUUGGAGCGAGCAUCUUGAGGUCGCGACUAGAGAAAACGAAAGAACGAAAACUUUGAACAAAGAAAAAGAGAAUGUUUGAGAAAAAAGGUUGAUCUUUCAGUGUAUACUUAGCUAGCUAGUGGAUCUGAUCGAAGCCCACAACGAAAGAGCGCUACAGAAAAAAUUAGUAGAAAGAGAAGACCAUUGAAAUUUCAAAACGAUGAAAGACGAAAAUGCGUCGUGAACAAAAACACGGAUCUAUCUACAUGGGUAACAUCCGUUGCCGGGAUUUGAACCCGGGUCGCCUGGGUGAGAGCCAGGUAUCCUGACCGGACUAGACGACAACGGAUUUAUUAGUCGGGCUGGCUAAGCUGCCAGAUAAUUAAUACCCGUACCUCUUUUCUCGCCGGAAAGAUACCGUACGAUUCAAACCAGAAGAAUCAGUGGAAUACACAGAUCUCGUGGUGUGUUAUGGAAGAACGAAAGAGAACGAGGACGAAGGAAAGAACAUUUAUUUUCUACCAAAGUUUCGAUUUAAGUCGAGUGACGAUCACUUGACUUGGAUUCCAAACUUUGGGACGAUGGCCGAUCGCUCACUACUCUCCGAGGCUGAAAGGAUUUGGGUAGCUGAACGGAAGCGAGGAAGCCCACUGCGAGUAGAAGAAGUGCUGGAGCAUGAGCGGCGGCGGCGUAGCACUGAUCCCCAUCUGGAAGCAGUAGUACUGCGCCGCGGUGACGGGAAUCGCCGAGGCCCAGACGAGGAAGCAGAGUGGCGGCGGUAGCAGCCAUGGAAUAGGUGUCCAGCUCGAGGCGAUGAGCAAGUUCAUCAGAAACGGUGGGAAAAACAUGGUGAUCGACGGGUGGAAUCGAGUGCCAAAGUUGGAGAAGAGUUUAGGCGAUGAAUCUCACUCGAAGAGAAAGAAGAGAACUCCUUUUUCUUCUCGAUCGUUCUCCUGGUCCUCUUGAGAAGGCUCUACACUCACACCUGGAAGAACUUGGGAGAGAGCAAUAGUUCUAAGUAGAAAGAAAAACACUAUGCUCACUUAUAGCAAGCUAGAAAACGCACAAUCCACUUUUACCCGGAGAAGGCCACGCAUGCGCGAAUUGGAGGAAUCAAAGACUCACAUUCCUAGCGUUCGUUCUUCCUCUCCUCCUCUUCUCUCUCUCUCUCUCGCACCAAUUCCUUGCUUUGUUCGCUCGCUAUAAACAAAGCGCCUUAAAUGAUGCGCAACGGACGAUCAAACAAGAGAGAAGAAAGGAUCGAAACAAAAGCAGUGAAAAAACUCGCGAGAGAAAGAGAGAAAGCGCUGCGCUGCGCAGCGCCCCCUCCACAGCAAAGCAGCGAAUUAGGGCAGAAAAGCUGGAAGAAGAACAAAGUGUUAAACGAGAGCUCCUAAAUGGGAAAGGAGGUUUAAAAUUUAAUACACAUUUGCAUGCCAGGUACACGUGUCGCGCAAGCGAGAACAAGGAAUCUUCUUCUUUUUCUUCGUAUGGAGAUGGCGGCUCGCAAAAAAUAAUAGAAAGCCAUGCUUGAGAAGAACCUGACGCUGGAUCUGGCGAGAAAUCAGUGUCUCUCUCGCGGGAGCUCCUGGAAUCGAUGCUGCUUCUCUCCUCCAGGCGAGAAAAUUUAAUGCCAGUGCGAGAAGAUUCUUGCCUGUGUUGUUCCUCCUGCGCUCGUCCAUAAACUUUCGACGCUUGUUUCGUUCUUUGGAAGUUGAAACGAUUGGGAGUGAGAGAAAUGGAAGAUAUCUGGAACAUAGAAACAAACGGAGACCUUAAUGGAGCUACUGUCCGAGCUGCUGACACCAUCGCUUUCUUCCUCUCUAGGAAAAUAUAAAGCUUUCGAUUUUAUUUUUUUGUCUCCACACUGUGAUUAAGCUGAGAGCUCGGCGAUUCAUGCACUGCGCCUGUCACCACAGAGAGAUCCAUUAAACACAAAAGCAAAAGAGACACAUUGAUUUUGUUUGUCAAACGUAUUCUUUUGAAUUCCAGAGGUUUUUAUUCUUCCUUGGCUGGAUUGUUUCAGCCAAGGCAUUAAAAGAACUACCAGUAAAUAGAUGGACCACAGGGAAUAUUUGCUAGCAGAUUGCCUUGCAUAAGCUUUUUUGUCUUGCACAUUCUUUUUGAGUAUCUUUCAUUUGAGAGUUCAAGCUUUUGUUCAUGAAAUGCAAAAACUAAUUUGCUGUGCUGUUUGGCUUGCUUGUGUAUUUUAAAUAUUAUAUAUUAAAAUAUAUCCUCUAUAUAUUAAUUAAUUUUGUAUUAGUAAAAUUUCCAAAUUGAUAACACAACAAAAAACAAUUCUGAGAAAAUGAAAUUUUUUUUUGCACUAUUUAGUUUAAAACACUUACAAAUUAAUAAAUGAGAUAUAUAAACACUAUAUAAGCAACUUUAACUUUCUCUUGGACACUUUUUAUUGAUGAUAGCACCUCCUCUUUUAAUCAAAGAAAAUGGAAUACUCUGUAAGAUGUUUGAUUACUUUUUAUAUUGCUCUUUGCACUCUUAUCAUUGAUAACUAAGAAAGAAGAAAAGGAAUUUUAUACUCAACAGAAGAAUACUUUUAGUAGAAAACCUAGACUUUUCCCACUUCCCAGAUUCAAACCCUUCUGUCUUGAUUAUAAUUCACAAAAGAGUAGCACAAAACAGUCUGUGAGAUCUAAACACAAGAUUAGUCUAAAUGAAUAUCAAACCUUUAAAUAGUAAAAUAUGCUCCAAAGGUAUUUGAGGUAUAUCCAAUACCAGCCCAUAGGUUUGCUAAAGCAAAUUAAAGUUUUUAGUGGCUAACAAAAACAGGGUUUAUUGUGCAUUGCCAAUAUAUUGGUGCUAUUCCUGCUUUUGUAUAUUUAUAAAUUUUAUCUAUAUGUGAUUUGUUAGUUUCUUAAAAUGUGUAUUGUCUUUUAUUAUUUUAUUCAUAUCCUUCCUUCUCCAUUUUUGUUUGAAGUGGUUUUACUUAUUGAUUUUGAUUGCUAAUAUUGAAAUGUCUUGUAAUUACUAGUAGUUUUUAAAUAUAUUUUUUAUAUAGUUUUGUAUAAAUAUUUAUAUAUUUAGUUCAGAUUUAUAUAGAUUUAGUAUUGUGGGAUUUUGAUAGCCAUCAAAUUGAUUUCAAUCCAAACCACUCGCUUCUAUAUAUAAGUUUAAUCAAAAUACAUAUUUCUGUAUUCCAUUUCUAUAUUAUAUGCACUCACACAAAAUUUAUAAUUUUUUAAUAAUUUUUCUUAUAUAUAUUAUAUUGCCAUUAAUUUUGUUUUUAAAAUUUCUAAUUUUUUAUAUUUAUAUUCAUUUUGUGAUGUCCAAAUAUAUAGCUAUAAUGCUGUAAAUUAAUAUUCGUAUAAUGGGAUUUUAAUAACCAUUGAAUUGAUUUCAAUCCAGACCAUUCACUCUUAUAUAUAAACUAGGGUUUAUAAGCUGAUUAAUAUACACACAUUUCUUUAUUCCAUUUCUUUAUUCAAUACACUUAUAUUAGUGGAGAUAAGAGGCAACUUUGAUUGUCCCUGAAGAGUGUUUGGAAUUAGGAUUUAAAUUUAGAUUUAGCUUUUACAUCAUUUAGAUCUUCCUUCUUUAUAGCUUUUUCAAUUUUUUUUCUUUUGCUUUUUCCUUUUUGUUCAUCAUCAUAGUAGAGCAGCAGCCUCCCCCUCCUUUGACUCUAGAGCAAUAGUUAGUGCAAUUGCUCGAUGCGAUGUGAUUAUAGUUGAACAAUUAGACUUAAUUAAUAGUGACAUUCACAAUGUAAGCUCUAUUUCGUUAAAGUGGGAAUUGUCAUUAUCCCACUUGUAAAAUAAGGUUUCCAAACCUUUAUAUAGUAUAUAAAUAUAACAAAAUUCAACUGCAUUGAGGCACAUGCCAUUUUAUUUUAAACAAGGAAAUGUCUACUCAAUCACUUCUCCUCCCCCUGCCACUGCUUCACCUCUCUCUUCUCCUUGUCAUCGUCGUCCAAUUUCUUUCCAUCCUUUUAAUAUUGGCUCAGUUGCUCCGAGUCUAGGUGGAGCCCAAGUCCCCAUUCAAUCUUUACUUUCCCAUUAUUAAUAAAACAACUUCGUAGACUUCCAAUAACAUGCUGUAACACUUCUAGUAUAAUGCAAAUCCUCUCAAAGAAUUGUCUUUUAAUAUUAAUACAAUUGCAUGGAACACCAUGCCAUAAUAAGUUACAUUUUUAAAUAAAUACAUGCCAUCUCAGACUGUUAUUUUUUGCCUCCAACGCCUAUACAAUAAUCUUGGAAUUUCAUCACUCUCCACACUAUCAGGAUUUAAACCCAAUAGUAAUGCCAUCUCUUCUCUAAUACGUCCACGCUCAUGUUCAGUGGUCGAAGAACCCAUCCGGUUGAGCAGAUUAUGGAGAUGCGGAUAGUGCUUGGCUAGACAAUAUACAUGCCAUAAAUGAUGACUGGUGUCUGUCCAAUCAAAUGGCUUCUGAUAUACCGUUCCAUCUGCCAUUUGGUUGAUUUCUGCAGCCACCUCCUGGACUGGCCGGUUCUCUAUCACCAUCGCUCCAAGCCGUUUUGCAAGGUCCCCCAGAACAUACGGUUUCUUCUCCCUAGUUUCCAUACUGCAAGAGAUGGGGUGCACUGCAUAUGUGUGCGUGUUCGCUGCAGUUUUAAUCGGCGAGUCAUCGAUGAUGAGGAUUUCACUUGAGCUAGCAGUCCGGUUCAUCACUACAGCCUCUGGCUUGACGAAGAUGGGCUUGCUACCCCUCACAUGGACCAUAGUCAAGCAAUCCUCCUGCGUUAGGAGAAAGUCAAAUGGUAAUAUUACUCGCGUCUGAUCGUGCAUCAUCUGUAGCAACGUUAAUGCAUUGUGGCGCAUCAUGGAUGUCCAAACUCCCAAUUGCAAAUUGAACCCGGCCCUCUGUUUUAAGUGUCGCAUGGUCAUUAUUAGAUCCCGCAGUUUCUCCCGUGUGAUUAAUGUGAAUCUGUCUCUUUUGACCAACUUGCGACCGCAGGCUUUGGAGGGUGCAAUGACAUUCGAGGACGAGCCACGCUCAUGGGAGAAAAGGACACCGUUCAGAUCAAAAACGAUACAGUACCUUCGCCGUGACUCUGAAAUGAAAUGCGUCAGCAUAAAAAAUGGUACAAGUCAAUUUUACCAUCUACAAUAUUAGCGAAUGUUGCUCCCGAUGGUCGUUGAGAGGGUUUUGGUCGAGGAAACGUGAAGGGCGGAAAUACUCUCCUCUGCAAUGUGGGGUCAAUCGCAUCCGAUGGCGUGUGGGCACAUGCCAUUUCAGCUGUAGACUCUGGUACAACUGGCUCAACAGUGGCAUGGGGUGGUUCCGAUGGCGUGUGAUCACACGCCAUUUCAGCUGGUGCCUCCGUUGGCAAAGUGGACAUGACCGAACAAGCAGCAGGGGCGGUGUAGGGAGGUUCCAACGGUGCGUAGUCAGACGAUUGGGCACACGUUGAGUCCGUUGGAAAUGAGGAUACGACCGGCUCGGCGGCUGGGGCGGCCUCAUGUGGGUCCAAUGGCGCCUGGUCACCGUCAGUUGGAUACGUGGACAAGAUUGACUCAAUGGUAUGGGCAGCAUCAAGUGGAGCGUGGUCAGCUUGCUUGGCGUUGAUAUGGAUAGUAGCCUCCACCAGCUCUGAUGACUCUUGCAGCCAAGUAGAGUCCACUGGCGGAUCCAUAUGCAUGUCCAAAUAUCUCCCUUCGAUUGAGAUGGUAUCCUCCCGUGCUACUAAAAACAAACUCAUUAGCACAUUGAAUCGACUAUACUGUAUUUACCAUCAACUGCUAUUGAGGAACUAGGACCGAUAUCACUUGAGCGCACUGCUGAUUCUGAAGGAUUGGACAUACGUUUCGACCCUUGCUUGGCACUAUCCUUCCUCGACACUAAAGGCUAGAGUUUGUAAAUUCAACUGAAUAAUCUCUACUUACCAUUUGCUCUGCGACCUACAUGGACAAUGUUAGAAAUGGUAAAAGGUUAGGAAUGGAUGUAUUAUUAUUUACCUGAUGGUUUGUCUUGUAUGACCUUCCUCCGCCGCUCUUUGGCCACCUCAGGCUGGCCAUCGUCGUCAUCAUCGUCGUUGUCGUUAUUGUGAUCGUCACCAUUGUGAGGACCAUCCAAGUCCUCUUCGUCCUCCUCUUCUUUGUCCUCCUCUUCGUCCUUCUGCUCUUCUUGCUCAUUAUCUUUCUCUGGCUCCUCAUCCCCCUCCUGCAUUUCUUCCAUAGGCUGCUCAGGCUGGAUGGCUUGUUCUUCCAGGACCAUCUUGGGAAAAUCAUCUGGCCGAGUCUCCAUCUCAAAAUACAAGACAUCCAUAGCUUGUUUUAGUGCGUGACCUAGGACCGUAUCCUCACCCGACUGUCUUAACAUGGUUUCUGCACGUUCUUGCACCCUUCGAAGACGACGAGAUGAGAAAAACGUGGCCCUGCCUUGAAAAGCUUCCCUCAUCCAUUGUACCUCUCCAUUGAGAUUGGGGAAGGGGAGUCCGCCAUAGGAAUCUGAGUCAUGAGGUGGUGACUGCCUGCUUUCACUCAGCCCUUGAUCUGCAAUGAAUGGCAUGAGCACACACGCCAUAACCGCGAGGCAUUACCUAUCAUCUUUUCGUUGCCCUUCUUCCUUUUCGAAUCAAACGCCUCUGAUCUCGACGACUGUCCAACGUGCUUUCGCUUUUUAUGACCACUGUCAGUUUGAGCUUGGCUGGUGCUUGCCUGUUUUGCCUUUGAAGAAGUUUCUCCUGCAAGGAAUGGCAUGAGACCACACGCCAUUGCAAAUAUAAUUUGUACCUCCUGUUUUCCUAUUGCUUUUCUGUUUGUCCUUCUUCGAUGCGCCACCAGUGCGCUUUUCAGUCCUCGUGUCUAAAUAUUCACAACGAUCUAUAAUCAAAAUGGCGUGAGGCCUCACGUGACCUUACCUUGUGCAGGUUGUGAGCUCGGCCCAACAUGGGUAUCUUCAAAAGUAGCUGUUAACGCCGUUUCAGCAUCUGGGGGUGGCCACGCUCCUGCAUACAGAGCUUGUGAGAUAACAUUUAAACUUAAAGUGUGUACUCACCAGGUUCGCAGAGAAGAUACUGUUUUUCUUUGGCAACUGUAAUUAUAUGCUCCAUUGAAGUCAUCUCUUCAAUGGAGUUUGUCACCGCAACACAAGGGACACCCUUGAGUAGUGCGGCUCGAAAGAAUAGUCCGCCGCAGUUGUACUCGACAACGCAUUUGCCCUUGGAGUCGGAAGCAGAUGACCCACCCGCUAUUGCGUUGAAGACCCAGCUGAGCAUUUCCCAUGCUGCACCUGGAGCUUUCUUUGGAUUCGAAAGCUCCAUAGCCGUCUUCAGUUCCUCAGGCACGGGUAAAUUGACCUCCCUCAGAUCAAUUCGAUUGGCCUUGUCGAACGAAGCUGGGAAGUCACUCCAGUCCCACUCUGCUGCAGGACCAAUAACAAGGGCGAGUGUGAAGAUGCGGACAUUCGUCGGUAUCUUCUUCUUAGCCAUUAUCCCAUGGAUCUCCCGCAUCUCCUUGCCUUUCAACCGAGCCUUCACCUCGUUCAAGGCCUUCCAGAACUUGUGAUAGGAUUCGGAGUCGUAGAUCAUAUAGUGGACUGAAGAUUCCACCUCCGCAAGUCCCACCAUUAAGUCAAUGAUGGAGCUGACUUCGUCUGCAUGAGUGAUCUCCUCGUUUGUGAAGUCCAUCACACAAAAGAUGUUCUUGACCUGCUCAUCUCCGCGGGAAACGAUGCUCCUCCACCUUUGAUCCUCAUCCGAAUUCAAGUAUACCCGGUAAGGUUCUCGAUAGGCCUCUGCUGCGGGGUCGAGCUGUUUCUGAAGCCGGCGGUCGACAUCAAUCUUAAUGAAAUUUGGAUACUGAUCCAACUUCUCAGCUUUACUUUUCGUGGCAUCCCGCAGCAGAUCGAUGAACUUGGGGGCCCCCUUCACGUACUCGUCGAUGUCUUCAUUUGACAACUCCAGCGCUUCCAUCAUCUCUUGCGUGGUGUCGAUGCUCACCCUCUCCACGGCCACUUGCUCGAAGAUCCAAUCCUUCAAUAGCGCACGAGCUCUCAGAGUCGUGCACAAGUCCUCGUAUGUCACAAUAUGGCCGGGAGUCAUUUUGGUCUUGUUGAAGACAACCUCACCACGUAGAAGAGCAUUAGCCACUGUCAGAAGGUCGUCGUCGUCUAGAGACCGCGAGAAACGCAAGGCGUUGAGCUUCAAAUCAUUGGGCUUCCGGCCGUCCUCCACACCCAUUGAGUUUGGCAACUCCCCGUCAUGGUACCUCCUCAGCACAUCUACCCAUUUGUCAAAAACAACUUUUGUCGCGAGUAGAAUGUUAUGGAUGCUGAGUGUGUCAUUGACCCCCAGUGUUUUCGAGAGAAGACUCGAGAAUUCCUGCAAUGGAAAUGGCGUGAGGCCACAUGCUAUGCCACAUGCAACGAGGCUUACCUGCCAGGCGCUAGUUGCUAGUGCACGUCCUUGUCCUGGUUUUUGUGGCUUCUUCAGUUGAACCCAGAGCUUCCGUGUUCGUGCCAAUGUCUCGUGCAGACCCGAUUUGUAGCACGUUUCUUGCUUGACAUUCUGCGCGUGGGAGAUGUAUAUGAUAGAUCGGAGGGGCGAGUUGCCUUUUAUCAGGCGGACAACUCUUGUCUUGAAGACUUUCUUCACCUCCUCGCCCACCAUAAUAUCCACAACUAUCUCUUGCAUCGCCAAGCUAGAAUGCUGCCCGGAGACGGCAUAGAACCGGAUGUUCUGAUCGUCCAACACCUUCCUAUUGAUCAAGUCUGGAAACCUCGUCUCGCCCUUCAUUGUUCGGUAGUAGGGGAUCACGUCUGCGAUGUCGGGUGUUACUGGACUUGCCAGCAUCUUCUGCUUCAGUUUCUCCACCCACUCAUCAGAUACUAGCCUGUGGUUGUAUUUGCUUUGGAUGUCGAUACGGCUCACGUCGAUUGUAUAUACAUUGUUGGAAUAGUAACAAGUACUAUUAUCUGCGACGAUUUUUGCUGCCUCUUCUUGCUCUUUCUGCUCUUUGCGGCUCUUCUUUUUGGUGGGUGUAGUGUUCGAACCCGAGGCAAUGGCAUCACUGAGUAGCUUCUUUUUUGGAGCAGGAGAGUCGGACGUCGGCUUGAGCUUGACCACCCUUUUCUGCUUUGAGGUAGUUUCCAGAUCGACCCCCUUCCCCUUUGCUUCGCGAACUGGAGUCACUCUCAACGGCUCAAUGUUGGAAUAUAGUUUUUGAACAUCGCCGUAGGUGAGGUCCGUGGAUUCCAUGUGAUCUUCAUAGACCCGCAGCGUCUUUGAAAUUGUGGGCCUCCUGGACAACCUCUCCCUAGCUCCCUCUAGGAAUUCCUCAUAGCCGCUGCCCCCCUCCGGGAAGCCGCUAGGAUGUGCAAGGUGGAUCUUGAAGGCAGACGCUGUCUCUACCACAAGUGCCAGUCCAUAUUCUUGCAUGGAACUGCAUGGAGUGUCUGUCACUUGGAUGAGGAUCCCCAUGCAUUCUUUUCUCCCACCAUCUGUGUUGUACAGCCUCAGAUCCUCGCCUUCUAUCCCGAAAGUCCAACUGGUGAGCUCCUCCCCCUUCUCUGCAUCCACAUUGACAGUGGCUGGAAGAAGAACGCAAUUCCUCGCCUGUUCAGAAAUGCACAACAAUUAGAGCUGACAGAUGAAAAGCUAGUAGCUGGAAAUAACGUGAGGCCACACGCCAUUCACCACUGCAUCAGAUGUCUUGAGGCUGCAUCCUAAGAUGGCGUGAGGCUACACGCCAUCUGUAACCGGACUGCACUCGAGAGCCCAAUCGGUGCAUGCCAAUGUUGCUACUGAAUGGCAUGUGGCCUCAUGCCAUUUUCUACUUGGCCUAAAAGACUUACCAUUUGAAGCCGAAUGGAGGCGUGACAACCGGACUCGCUGGCGAAUGUGCACUGUGUGUGCAGCGGAUUGUAGCAGCAAGGCUACUCUGCCACUUACAGUUGGAGAGUGGCGCUGAAAUCUCCCGGGACGCCAAGUGGGCUGCGUGUGGGUGGCGGAGUGGGCGGCGGAGUUGGCGGCGAAGUUACAAACUGGGUGUGUCUUGAAGUGGACGCCGAUGCACACGAGCGCGAUGCGAGCGCGAGUGGACGCCGAUGCACACGAGAAACCUGUAGAGAAGUGGGAGCGCGAGUGGGAGCGCGAUGCGAGCGCGAGUGGGAGCGCGAUGCGAGCGCGAGUGUGCGAGCGCGAGUACGAAGCAAAAUGCAAAACCUAACCUCACACGCGCGAAAUGUCACGACGGUUGGUAAUCCCGCCACGUCAUCAUUUCUCGGACUUGGGCGCCACCAUUAAUUUCUGGAUCGGCGCGCGCAUGCGUGAAAUCCAAAAGAAAUCCGCAACGUCAUCAUUCCUCGGACUGCAUGCACGCGAAAUCCAAAAGAAAGAUCAUGAUUGGGAUAUCAUUUAAUACCCUCGCUAUAUUUAUACCAUGCAUGAUUGGAUAUUCCAAAGCAUCUUGUAUUUCCAAAAAUGCCAGAUGUUCAGCUAAAUAAAUUGUCAGAGGAUUUGAUGUGACGUUCAAGCAUGUGGGCUCAUGCAAUUUUGAUCCCAAAAAAUGCACCAAAAAAUGCUCGGCGUCAUCUGGCGUUAUCUCUUGAAUGGCGUGGGGCCGCAUGCCAUUUUCAGGAGCACAUAGGAGUAUAUUCCUAGAAUAUUCUGACACGCGCGAGAUUGUUUUGAGUUUCCUGGAGAUCCAACCGUUAGAUCGCAACUAGAUUUUACAGAAUGGUAUACAAUGUCCUUCUUGAUGACCCUGCAAAGAAGCAUCUCGAUCGGACACCACAUGAGACCACACGAGCCUUACAAUGUUUCAGGGGCAUUUGCCAUAGAUCCGACCGUUAUUUUGCUCCAAGAUUCUACAGUUUGGUGUGCAUUGACCUUUCCAUCGACACUACAAAGGGACAUCACAAUCAGAUGCGGGAUCACAAGAAACCAACUUCACUAACUCUGGUUUCACCAAGAUCUACGUAAGGAGUUAUGAAAUGAAAGGACCCUCUCUAUUGAAAUGUGUUUAUGGUCCUAAGGGCAUUGUGACAUAUCCAAGGAUUUUGCAUCAAGUUCUGUAUUUGCAUGUUUAUCAAGCUACUGAAUUGCUAAACCCUAAACCCUAAACAUGUGGCAAAUGCUGCGUGAAGAAAGAUGCCCUUUCUGGGCAAAUGCUGUAAGAGGCAGAUGCCGAGCAGAUGUAUCUCAGGCUAGUGAAGGGGACAAACGAAAGCUAGCAACCAAAGGAAUGUAAGCAACCAAAGGAAUGUAAGUAGGGCAUGUGUUUGUAAGUUUAAAAAUGCCUCAACCACUUAAAUUCCCAAGUAAAUAAAGCUGUUUCUAUUUUUGGUACAGGUAAACUUUAUAGCGUGUGGGCUCAUGCAAUUUUGAACCAAAAAAUGCACCAAAAAAUGCUCGACUAGCAUUAUUCUUUGAAUGGCGUGUGGCCUUAUAUUGCCAUAAAUGACACAGCAUAAUUAUUCCUUUACACGGCGAAUAAUCUUGGAGCACAUAGGAGUAUAUUCCUAGAAUAUUCUGACACGCGCGAGAUUGUUUUGAGUUUCCUGGAGAUCCAACCGUUAGAUCGCAACUAGAUUUUACAGAAUGGUAUACAAUGUCCUUCUUGAUGACCCUGCAAAGAAGCAUCUCGAUCGGACACCACAUGAGACCACACGAGCCUUACAAUGUUUCAGGGGCAUUUGCCAUAGAUCCGACCGUUAUUUUGCUCCAAGAUUCUACAGUUUGGUGUGCAUUGACCUUUCCAUCGACACUGCAAAGGGACAUCACAAUCAGAUGCGGGAUCACAAGAAACCAACUUCACUAACUCUGGUUUCACCAAGAUCUACGUAAGGAGUUAUGAAAUGAAAGGACCCUCUCUAUUGAAAUGUGUUUAUGGUCCUAAGGGGAUUGUGACAUAUCCAAGGAUUUUGCAUCAAGUUCUGUAUUUGCAUGUUUAUCAAGCUACUGAAUUGCUAAACCCUAAACCCUAAACCCUAACCCUAAACAUGUGGCAAAUGCUGCGUGAAGAAAGAUGCCCUUUCUGGGCAAAUGCUGUAAGAGGCAGAUUCCGAGCAGAUGUAUCUCAGGCUAGCGAAGGGGACAAACGAAAGCUAGCUAUAAACAUGACGGGAUGCAAAUAGAUUACUAGGCUGGUCCUGCGAAAAUCAAAAACCAUAAUUGAAAACAUUGAAAAUGCAAAAAGAAAGGUUUAUAAUAUUUUUGAAUUUUAAGCAACCAAAUGAAUGUAAGUAGGGCAUGUGUUUGUAAGUUUAAAAAUGCCUCAACCACUUAAAUUCCCAAGUAAAUAAAGCUGUUUCUAUUUUUGGUACAGGUAAACUUUAUAGCGUGUGGGCUCAUGCAAUUUUGAACCCAAAAAUGCACCAAAAAAUGCUCGACUAGCAUUAUUCUUUGAAUGGCGUGUGGCCUUAUAUUGCCAUAAAUGGACGUACACACACAGCAUAAUUAUUCCUUUACACGGCGAAUAAUCUUGGCGCGGAUCGCUGACAUGGCAUGGCAAAGUUCGAAUCACUGACAUGGCACAGCUGGAUCGAGGCAAGGACAUGAUGUGACAAAGUUCAACCUCCGACAGCAAAGUCUAGAAGCUACUCAGUUUGAAAUUUGUCAGAGGAAUCAUAAGAUCUGGUUUGUCAGAGGAUUUGAUGUGACGUUCAAGCGUGUGUUAUUUUUGAAUUCUCGAACUCAUUCCUAGGUCUAUCAUUUUUGUGCGCCGUGUUCUUGGUUCCGCUGAGCGCAGUGAGCGCUGCUUGUGUAAGCGGCGUUGUGAGCUGUGGUUUAUGCGUCUACAAGCGGUUGCGGCAUUGCGAGCGCCAUUGCGAGCGGCAGUUUAUGCGAGUGGCAGUUUGUGCGAGCGGCGCUACGAGCAGUUGCGGUGUUGCGAGCGGCGCUACGAGUAGUUGCGGUGUUGCGAGCGGCACUGUCUUUGGUGUGGCUACCGCUUCCUCUUGAUAUUCGGCACUUGUGCUUCCUGGUAUGUUCACCAUGGAAUGGUUUAGGACCACAUUUAGAAAUGGCAUGAGGCCACAUGCCAUCUUGGGCCCUUGCAAUUUCAUGGCUAGCGUAUUGUCAUGUAUGUUUUUACUUGCCUGCAGCUGUGUGUAUAUCAAGAUGGCAUGAGGCCUCAUGCCAAUUUUGUGAAUGCGAAAUUUCAUGUGGGUGUCAAUAGCAUGUUUGAAUAAUGGCAUGUGGCCUCAUGCUAUUGAGGUUGUUUGGUAUGUUAUGAUUUAGGCCAUUCUCCAAUCAUUUUUUGUAUGGUCUUAACUUCUUUUCUGCACUUUCAGAAUGGCCUUCAGAGUUGGGGAAAAGGUUUACAUUUUGAAUGGUGGGAAGAGAGUUGCAAAAGGGACCCUUGUGUCUAUGGAUCGGAACUUUGUUAUACACUGUCAAAGGCUUGGGGAAGGCAAUGCUGCUGUAUCAGUAGAGACUGUCUUCGAUGGGAAUGUGGUCGCUAUUGAACGAGGAGAGAUGGUCGUCGGGGUAAAUGUUGUUGUUGCCUUGAAAAAUCUUCAGAAGAAAGCAGAUGUUGGGGACAGCGCAAGUGCGACGCAUGUUCCCUCCGUGGAUCUUAAGAACCGUGCUACAUGGAUUCAGGCAAAGGUGUUUCUAAACAACCCCGAGGGGGAGGUGGUAGCUGAGGGCUUAGCCACAGUUGUCGAUCCAAGAGAUGCGGUUGCUAAUCAAGAAUUGGGCUGGGAUGAUAUUGGAGUUGCAAUUUUAGAGGUUGUUGACACAGAAGAAAACAGUCUGACUAUUGGAAGCAUUGUGCGGUGGAAAUUGAGGCAUUUAGUGUUUGAGAAUGUGAAGGAUUCACAAUCAAACACCACUACAACUGAUGACAGAACAUCUCUUCAUGGGAAAAGAAAGUACACCUUCCUACAGCGCAGCCAAAGGGAUCUGAGCAACGAACCGAAAAGGCAGAAAAUGGCGAUGGAGGUUCGAAUGGUCUCGACAGUUGCUUGUUGCAAGAGGAGGUGCUGUCAACAUGCUGAUUGGGAUGCUAUUGAAGAGGAGAGAGCAAGAUACAAGACAUUGUCCUGGAAGGUAGCUCGCAAUUUUGUGUAUGAGGCAUUACGGUCAUCUAUUGAUGCUUCAGAACAUCAGGUGGGGGGCAUGGUCUUCCAGAGGGGUUUGGUCUGCAUGAAGGCAUGGAGAAUCAUUUAUGGAGUCCCUCGAACCACAUUCUACAGAAUCAAAACUGAGUUCGAGGAACAAAGGGUUCAACAGGCAGUCCAUGGGAACGACGGUACGCACAAAACCAGGGGUCAUGUUGUAUAUGGAGAGGCAAUCUUCAAGAGGUUUGUCGAGACAUGUAGCGAGCAGCAACCACAUAAAACCCGCCUCUUGGAAGAUGGAACACGAGACACCCAACGAGUUCUCCCUUCCAUGUAUACCAAGGGGGCCAUAUUGGAAGAUGUGAAUCGGGAACUCCAGAGUAAUGGCUACAGGAAGCUGAGCCAAUCUAGAUUUAGUAGAUUGUGGAGCAACAGGUUCAGGGAUGUGAGUAUAGGAAAGUACUCCAGCUUUUCAAAGUGUGACGAGUGCACUGCUAUCAAAAUGGCUUUGUCGAAGAAUUCUUGCAGCGCUCAAGAGCGAGAGACGUUGGUUAGAAGGCGGCUCGACCACAACAUCGAGCAGAGAAGCUGCAGGACUGCAUAUUAUCAUAAUAGGAUUCUCUCCAUGGAGAGACCUGACUCUUACCUCUGCAUCAUCCACGACAAAAUGGAUCAGAAAAAGACGUGCUUACCUCGACUCAAUCCUGCCCCCAAGGCAAUCUCUUCAUCCAUGCAGCUGCCUGUGUCUCUGUUUGGCAUAAUCGCUCAUGGGCAUGGUGCCCAGAACUAUGGGAACUUCUUUGUGCCUCUAUGGGGUGGCGGGGGUGCAAACAUGAUGAUUGCGUCCUUAGCAAAACACUUAAGGUCUCUGCAAAGUGCGCAGACUGAGCUGAACGGCCAACCCUUGCAUAAGGCCCUUGUCGAUCGAACCCCAUACAGGGUUCAGCUGGAGGAGGAGCAAAGGCUUGCAGUAUCGCGUGGGGCCCCAUGCCAUCCUAGUGAAUAUGUUGGCCGUCAGAUUGUAGGGUUAUCACGUGAGGCCUCAUGCCAUUACGACGAGGCUGGUCGCCCGGUGAAUGCACAGCCUCAUCCAAACGAAGCAGAAUCUCAAGGAAGUUCUUGCGGCCGAUGUGGCCUUCCACCCCAUCUUCUGCUCCAAACAGACAAUGCUGGCAGUGAGAACAAAAACAUGUACGUCUUCGCGUACUUGGCGAUGCUUGUUGCCAAAGGCAUAUUUGAAACGGUUACACUUGGCUUUCUCAUGGUUGGGCACACUCAUGAAGACGUCGAUGCCAUGUUCAGUCACCUGGCAGAGUCCCUCCGGCGAUCCAAUGUCCUCACCCUCCCACAACUCUACGAUGAAUUCCAAAAUUGCAUCAAAGGCACUGUUGAAGCUGCACUUGUGACAGAGGUUCCAGACUUUAAGGGGUUUGUAAGAGGCUACAUCAGGGACGGAUCCGAAACGCUGAUUGGCCACUCCAAGCCUCUUCAGUUUCAUUUCAGCAUGCGUGAUGGUGCUCCAGUGAUGAGGUACAAGAUGAGAGAAUGGGACACAGUGUGGCUGCCAGUGGAUGGCAUUGAACUCUUCAAGAGAGAUCCCAUAAUUGGGGAACCUAUGAUUCCUCAGGGUUCCCCACGGCCGAUGCACCCGGAUGGACUCAAAGACCAGGAAAGUAUAGUGGCCGGGAUUAGACAGCAUAUUGCCUUCUGGAAGAGGGGGUUGGUGUUUGGUGGAGAAUCCUAUUUUAAGAGGUGCAAGCCUUUGCUCGAAUACUGGGAGAAGAUUAUAUCUGCUAUCCAAAAUGGGCCGGUUGUAUAUGAAGAAUUGGAAGAGUCCUUUUGGCCAGAACCCAGAGCACCAGAUAGUAGCGGAACAAUGUCCUCUGGAAAUGCAGUGACAGAUAACGAUGUUGAGGAUCACUAUUGUGGGCCGAGGAACAAGAAGCCGGAUUCAGCAUUCAAUCCAGUACAGGUCUGCAAAGGAAUGGUCGUGCUUGUCAGACCCAGUAAUAAAAAACAAAUGAUAUGGGUGGGGCGCUGCAUCACUGAUGCAGAGGAGGACGCGGAAACUAACUCCUUCAAUGUAACUGUGGAGUGGUUCAAGCCAAGUUCCGGAUAUACGAAGGAUUGCCUAGAAAAGAGAUGGGUGCUGAAUCCAAGGGAUCCCAGCAUGAGCAUAUCGGUGGAUAAUGUUGUGCAUGGUUGGAUGCGGAAGCAGAGUGCCACCAUCACCUUGCCAGACCAUGCAAGAGAUGCAGCAAGAGCAUUCAUAACCCGGGUUCAAGGUGAGAUUCAUUAAUAUUCCUUUACUAAGUUUCUAAUGUAUUUUAUUUCAAGGUGAACAAUCCGAAUCUGAAUCAGAGGAGGCGUGAUGGCAUGUGGCCCUUUGCACUAGUAUAUCUUAAUACCGGUCUGAGAAAUAGAAUGGCAUGUGCCCUCAGGCCUUUUACUAAAUCACCUUUGAAAGAAAUGCAAGCCUCUAUGUCGUAAAAAAAAGGUACUAGAGAAAUUCCUUAAUAAUAUGAAUGUUAUUUAGUUUCAUGAAAAUACACUAAGGGUCAAAUGAGUUAAAUGACUUCUCCAGACUAGCAAUGCCUCUUGCUACACCUUCACAAUUAGAUUCGUUAGAAAAAGAUAACAUUGAAUAAUAUCUAAAUGUUCUCACCAUUAAGUUAUAUGUCUGGCUAAUAGGAAUGACGUUCAUCUUGGAAAGCUCACCACACGCUCAAUGAACAAACAAAUAGUGUGUGCGCGCAUGCCAUCGCUCUUCUUUAGCUUCAGAUUCGGCUUGUUCACCUUGACAAUGAGAUUUUUUAUACAACCAGAUGGACUCAGUCUGGACACAAAGUCACCGCGCUAGUCACCAUGCCCCAGAUAUGUCUAGCCCCUGGACAAAAAACAUAUAAUUUCACGUCAUUUUCAAAUACUUGAAAAUUUGUACCUAGUCCCAUUUUACUGAAUAAAUCCCACUUUAACGAAAUAGAGCUUAUGUAUGGUACAACUCCUUUUAUUCUUAUUGCCAAUCCUUAUAUCCGGUCCGAGUUCUUCCAUAUAAAACCUAAGGAUGAUGUGUAUUAUUGAUGAUCACGUUAUGGUAAUUGCCACAUAUCAUUCUUAGGAUGAUGCUCAACAUUUGUAUGAAUUUCCCACAUAUUUCCAAGGGACAACAUUGCAAUAGUACAAUGGUUUGAGUGCAAUUAUUUGUGUGGAUUGGAGCAUUCUCCUAAAUAUCUUCAAAUGUGUAUUUAGAUAUGAUGACAAUUGUGACGAUGCCUUUUGACAAUUGCAUCAUCUUUGUAAAAGGCUAUACCAUCUAAAUCAAUGCAAUUUAGAUGCAAUUUAGUAUUCAUUUUUGAAACUUUUUACUUCUUAUGGAGCAAAAUAUGUUAGAGUGGAUUAAGUUGGGAAUGUUGUGGUUAACACUUUAUUAAGAUCUUGUAAAAUUUAUGCAUGCACUUGCUUUAGCCACCUGUGAAUAAUCAAAGAGAACAACUUAAGAGACGGUCUAUGGGCUUUAAAUAUAGAGGGAAAGGGCCUAUGAAUAAGAGUGCACUCCGUUUUCCAAUCGGUUAAGGGUCUUGAUUGGGUCUGAAUAGUACUGGGCUGAGUGACCUCUUAGGAAAUCCAAAUUCAUGAGUUUACAUUUGGUGUCGGAGUGAGUUGAGUCCGACUCUAUUGGUUGACUUAGGGGAAUCACACCACAUAUUGAUAAUGACAUCUGGGGGUAGGGUGUCAAGAGAGUAGGGUUCUCGGGAGAGUUGUAGCUCUUAGCUUCCGUUCAUAAGGGCAUGAACUUAUAGGGAAACAUGGUGAAUUGUAAACAAAUAAAGAGAAUGACUUAAAAGACAAUACAUGUAUAAAGGGAAAGGGCCCAUGAAUAAAAGUGCACCCCUUUUCCAAUCAGUUAAGGUUUUAAGAUAUUUAGGGUUAAGUGUUCUUGGGUUUGAAUAGUACUAGUUUGGGUGACCUCCCAAGAAGUCCAAAUUCAGGAGCUUACACCACCCUUAACAAUGCUCUUUGCUUGAUAUAAUAUUAUGAAAUAUUGCCUUUUCCACUUUUCGCUGCAUAUCCUUCCUAUGGGAAAUGAACCUAUUCCAAUGGACUACUACUGUCCAAGUUCAAGGAUAAAGGCAAUGACGUGGUUGUGACCAUGAUGUCUGCUAUUGGGUAUGUGAUGAAGUUGGUUAAACUUAUCAACGUUGUUAGUGUUUUUUGGAAUGGCAAACUUCAUUUCCUAAAUAGAAACCUUGGCAUCAAUAAUGUUUUAUUGGUGCUCUUGCAAUAGAAGGUUUGAAUAUUGAGAUGCUUCUAGAAAAUAAAGGGUCAUACGAGUAGUGAAGGGUCCUUGUGCAAAUAAGUUAGUGCCCUCCAUUUUUCUUUCUAGAGUAUUAUCAAGGGGUUCAUUUGGCACCUAUUCAUUUAGUGUUUACUUUCCAAAUUUAUUUUUAUUCCAAAAGGUUUCCUAUUAUUUUCUCUAUGUUGAAUGAUAUAAACUCAAAUUAAUCUUCCAUUACUUAGCCUAUUGCUAGAUAUUGCCAUCUACAUUUGCAUUGUGUGGUAGAGUUAAUUUUCAAUCUUUAUGGCAAUAGCCGUACAUACGCAUGUGCUUGGGAUGAGGUAGACCUAGUUGUGCAUAUGGGCAAUCUCAAACUUGAGUUAUAGUCAUUGUAGCUAGUGAUAAGUCAAACUUUUGGCCUCAUAUUUGUUAUGGAUUAGUUGCGGCACAAGUUAAAUAUGACGUUAAGGCUUCUCCCCUUUUAAAAGUAUCAUCAAGGGGUUCACUCGGCACCUGUUUAUUUAGUGUUUAUUUUCCAAGUUUGUUUUAAUUAUAAGAGUUCUCCUAUUAUUCUCUCCAUGUUGAUUGAUAUAUACUCGAGUUUAUUUUUUAUUGCUUAGCUUGUUACUACAUAUUGCUAUUUAUAUUUACGUUAUGUGGCAGAGCUAGUUUUCAUUUUAUAUAGCAAUGGCCGUACACAUGCAUGUGCAUAGGAUGAAGUAGACUUAGUUGUGCAUUUGGGUGAUCUUGAGCUUAAAUUGCAGUCAUUAUAGGUGGUGUCAAGUCAAUUUUUUGACAUCAUCUUUGGUAUAUACUAGUUGUAGUGCAAUCAUGCCAAGUAUGACUUUGAAACUUCCUUCCCUUAUCUAAUACUUCCUUAUAUUUCUUCUAUUCUUUUCACUUCUGUUUUUCUUCAUUUUUUUAUUUUACCUUUGCUUCCAUUAGUUUUGUCUCCCUAUUACUUUCUCCUAUGUUUCUAUUUUAUUCCUUUAUUCCCUCUUUAGAUCUCUUCAACAAUCUUUGUAUUGGAGUAGUUGACUAGCUCAUAAAAGUGUAUGUUGAUCUCUUUAAAUUUGAUUUAUUAUCUAGGGCUAAGAUUGCAAUAUGUUAUCAUAUUCUAAUUAGGGAUACGUGUCCAAUUAAGGUUCCUAUUUGUCAUUAGUCACUAAAAGAGAUCAAUAUUUUACUUGGAAAUAUCAAGGAAAUAUUUAAAAGUUGUAGAGUCUUUGGGCAUAUGAACCUCAUUUUGUGAUGAAGCCUAAUAAGAGUAUUUGUUUUUGCAUUAACUAUUGUUCAUUAAACAAAGUGAUAAUCCCAAAUGUGUACCCUCUUCCUCACAUUGCUAUUAUCCUAGAUUGUAUGGGGAGAAGUUGUUAAUUUAUCAAGUUAAAUUUUCCUUUUGGGUAAUAAGUGUUGAUGGUUAAGGAAUAUAUUCCCAACACUAAUUUUUAUACACCAUUUAAUUUAUAUGAGUUCUUAGUGAUGUUAUUUGGUUUAAACAAUGCUCCAAUGAUUUUCUAUCGAAUGAUGGACGAGAUUAUGUGCGAUAUGCCAAAAGUGACUAUUAACUUCAUUGAUGAUGUCUUAAUUCAUUUGAAGGGGAUGUGAGAAGAACACAUUUGUGAUGUUUAUAAGGUAUUUGAUGGGCAAGAAGUUGUUUUAAAGAUAAAGUGAUCAAAGUGAGUGUUUUAGGUCUAAGUCCAUUUGGAGAAGAUCAUUACUGUGUAAAAGAUUUGAGUGUCUUGCAGUAUAUCCCAGAUACAAUAUUCUAUGCAUUAAGUUCCCUACUCCAAAGUGUGUGAAUGACAUGUAAUGCUUCUUAGGCAAGGAUGUAUAGUGUGUAUUACAAUAUCUUGGCCAUUUCGUUAAGCAUCUUUUUUAUUGUAUUGCACCAUUGAAAGCAUAGUGUAAACGAUUAAAUUUUCCAUUCUACUUUAAUCAUUUAACCACACUUUUGACCAUUUGGAGGAGUCUUAUCACAACCUUUAUAAAUCCUAUUCUGGACUUGAGGACUUGCUAACCUCGAGAAUGGUAUCCAUGCCACUCAACCUUUGCAUUUGAUCUAAGUGCUUCAUGUGUUUGAUCCCAUGACUGAUACCCAAAAGUACCAUUGGCAUAUUAGCCCAUUAUGCUAAAGCCAUACCCAUUCACCUUUAUCACAUCGAUGAUCUAACACCAUCUACAUCACUAUCCUGUUUCUCAAAAAUUGGCCAUCCAUCUAUAAGCGAUCAUCCUAGAUUCCCUCUUUAGCAUCUUUAAGAUGCCUGUAGACAUGGGGAACAACCUUCUUUAGUAUCCCUUUUUUGAUCCCCAUCAAGUCCCUUUUUGUCUACGGCUAUGUUCGCCAACAUUGCCACUAAGUCAAGGCCCACAGACUCGACCCCUAGGGACUUCCUCACCAUAUGAUUGUAUCUUUAGUCUCUACACUAGAGAACUACUCUUUUUCCUUUCCACAGUCUGGGACUUUAGGACAACAUUUUGGAACACCGUGGCCUUAUGCAAACCUUAUAAGUACUUUCCCCACCUUCCACCUUUGGGUGCUCUAGCCAUAUGACUAAAGCGAGGUUCUAAUGAGCUGCAUUAGGUAUCCAAGUAGGUAGUGCCACCCACACUUGGAUUGUGUGAGACACAAAUCCCUAAUCCCCAAAAUGGAGCCAAAAGGGUGCCACGUGGUAGUGGCCAAAGUGAAAGCCAAAUGAGCAUAACACAUUUGGACUAAAAGCUUUGACUUGAAAGGUCGAGAGUGGGAGUGGAACCCCCAACAAAGUGCUCAAGGAACAAGCACCAAAAGAGCAAUAAGUGAGUCUCUAAAAAAGGGACAUAAGAGGACCAACACAUGAGACGUGGAAGAGUCCAAGAUGGACUUGAGAUGGAAUCUAAGAUGGUCCGAGAUAGAUUCGAGAUGGAGUUUGAGAUGGACCCGAGAUGGAGUCUGAGAUGGACCCAAGAUGGACCCCAACUAGAGUCCAAGAUGAAGUCUGAGAUGGACUCGAGAUGGAUUCCGAGAUGGACCCGAGAUAGAGUCUGAGAUGGACUCGAGAUGGAUUCCGAGAUGGACCCGAGAUAGAGUCUGAGAUGGACCCGAGAUAGAGUCCGAGAUGGACCCGAGAUGGAGUCCGAGAUGGACCCGAGAUGGAGUUCGAGAUGGACCCAAGAUGGAGUCCGAGAUGGAGUCCAAGAUGGACCCGAGAUGGAAUCCAAGAUGGAGUCUGAAAAGGAUCCGAGACAGAGUUCGAGGUCGAGACCGAGACUGGGACCGGGACCGAGACCAAGGCCAAGACCUAGGCCGAGACCUAGGCUGAGGCCGAGUUUGAGUCCGAGUCCGAGUCUGAGUCCAAGUUCGAGUCCAAGGGUGAAAGCCUAAAGUGUUCGUCUCCCAGACCCUAGGGGGUUUGGUGAGCUCCAAAAGUAUAGUAGCGGGGAAAACUCCAAUAGAGCCAGUUUGGCCCAAGAAGGCUAUACCCAAGUGUUGGUUGAUGGGAUAACCAUUGGGAAGUCCAAGGCUAGAGUGAAUACGGAUUGAUAAGCGGGGUAGCUUGGUGAAGUGUUCAAGAACUAGCUCUAGUUCCCCCGGGAGAUCGAAUAGCCCAUGCUCCCAAUCCAAGUGUGGGUGGCACUACCUACUUGGAUACCUAGUGUGGCUCAAUGGAACCUUGCUCUAAGCCCAUGGCUAGAGCACCCAAAGCCGGAGGUGGGAAGAGUGCCCAUGAGGCUUGUGUAGGGCCACGGUGUUCCGAAAUGUUGUCCCAAAGUCCUAGACUAUGGAAAGAAAGAGGAGUGGCCCUCUGGUGUAAUGACCAAUGAUACAGUCAUAUGGUGAGGAAAUCCCAGAGGACAGUGGGACUUAAUGGUCGGGCCUGUGGGCUUUAUCAUAGGGGCAGUGUUGGCAAACACGGCUAUAAACAGAAAAGGGACUUGGUAAUAACUAUAAAAGGGAUAUUGGGGAAGGCUAUUCCUUAUAUUUGCGGACAUCUUAAGGAUGUUAAGGAGUGGACCUAGGAUGGUCACUCAUGGAUGGAUGGCCUAGUUUUUGAGAGACGAGAUUGCAAUGUAGGUGGUGUUGGACCACUAGUGUGACCAAGGUGAAUGGGCAUAACGUUAGCAUAACAAGCAAGUAUGUUGGUGGUACCUUGGGGUGUCGGUCAUGGGAUUGGACAUAUGGAGCACUUGGACCAAGUGCAAUGGUUGUAAGUCCAGAAUAGGACUUAUAGAGGUUGUGAGUGAAACUCCUCCAAGUGGUUGAAUGUGUGGUUAAGUGACUAAAUAGAAUGGAAAAAUUAAUCAUUUACAGAUUGGGAGUGUCAACCAUUCGAUCUCCUAGAGGAGCUAAAGCCGACUCUUCAAUACUUCACCAAACUAUUCUGUUUAUCUGUCUAUAUUCACUCUAACCUUGGACUCCUCAAUGGUUAUAUCAUCACCCAACACAUGGAUAUAACCUUCCUUAGUCACACUAGCCUUUCCAAGCCAAAUUGGCUCCACAAGAGUCCUUCCCCUACUAUACUUUUGGAGUUCACCAAACCCCCAAAAGAUGAACACUUUGGGCUUUCAUCUUCGAAUUCGGAUUACUCUCAAUCUCGGUCUCAAUCUUGACUUUAGACUCUAUCUCAGGUCCAUCUCCGACUUGACCUCAGACUCCAUCUCGGGUCCAUCUCAAACUCCAUCUUGUAUCCAUCUCAAAUUCCAUCUCGGACUCCAUAUCAAAUCCAUUUCGAACUUUAUCUUAGAUCUAUAUUGAACUCCAUCUCAGACUCCAUCUUGGAUUGCUUUGUAAGCCACAAAUUUUUCUUUUCCACUUUGCCAGCUUACCUCGCCUAUCCGUCCAACACUGCCUUGGCUUUUGCUAAGUUCCCUCGCCAAGGUUCCCGCCUAUGGUACCAGCUCCUACUUGGUUUCAGCUACUCACUGCACGAGUAACGGAGUGUUAGCCAUCCUUCCAUGGAUUCCCAAAUCACUCCCAAUCCCCCUCCCCGGGUUAGACUGGACUUAAGGUUCGGCUACACUCCCCGCAAGCACAAGCAGCCAAUCACACCAAGCUUCCAGGUUCCUAACAUCCCUUGGUACCACAAGACUUGAUCAUGGGACCCUCUAAAUCCCAAGUCUUGAGUGCAACACUUGCUUCGGGACGCCGGGGCGAAACACCGUGGCCUAGCAGCUCGGUAUGGGUACCUCUCGCCCCCCACUUCCAUCCCGAAGGAAGGCCCAAGCCCCUAGGAAGGGCGAGGACCAAUGAGCCGCAUGGUACUCAAGUGGGGCACCACUCCACAUGAGCCGGGAGCACCGCAAUCAGUUUCCCUUUCGGGAGUGGGAGCUGCUCUUGAGCACUUCCUUGGAUGGCCCCUCCGGCACCAGCCAAGUCCAUGCUCACUCCCACCCAAGGCCCCUCGGUCCCAGUCCCAACCUCAAGUCGGUUUGGAAGCCCAACUGGAGAGUCCCUUCAAAACUGGUUCCUGGACCUCACUAUCCCUGCUAUACUUUUGGAACCCCCUGCAGCCCCCCCCCCCCCCCCUGGGACACGCACGCUUUGGGCUUUCACCCCUUGACCCGUAUUAGUAUUUGGACUUAGUCUCUGGCUCGAUCUCGGACCCGAUUUCGGAUCCGACUUCGGAUUCGGGUUCGGACUCGAUCACGGACUCGAUCUCGGACCCGAUCUCGGACCCGACCUCGGACCCGAUCUCGGACCCGACCUCGGACUCGACCUCGGACUCGGUCUCGGACCCGAUUUCGGAUCCGGACUCCGUCUCGAACUCGGUCUCGAACUCGGACUCGAACUCGGUCCCCGAGUCGGUCUCGGACUCGAUUCCGGACUCUAUCUCGAACUCGGUCCUAGAGUCGGUCUUGGACUCGAUCCUCGACUUGGUCCCAUCCGAUGAACUCUUUGUCACUUCGGUCAAGCUUUUGGGGAUCCUUUAGCCUACGACAUCUCGGGGAGUCGGUUCCUUACAACUCCACCACCCAUAGAAGAAGUUCGAUGCCCACAUCGAACGUCUCGUUUUAUCCUACGACUUGUUGUCCAUGUCUCCGGGGGCAUCCCCCCACUUAGCGGUGUGCCUAAGUUAGCCUCCCCGGCCAAGAGCCCAUGACAACGGAAUAUAGGUGUCCCUAUACUCCUCACCUCACCACGCCCUAGUAUAGGGUCGGGACUUGAACCCAGCCUUGCUUUACUAGGGGGUUGGGACUCGAACCCAACCUCCGUAGAAUACGUCUACGGAUUCGACAUCCCCGCAGGGAGUCGGGCGUAGUGCCCUACGCCUGGUCGACCUAUCCAACCCAUGCUAAUUAGCUUACCUUUGGCGCGCCUUCGGGUCCCAACAUAUGCCAUUUGCUCAACUUUGCAAAUUGAUAUUUUUAAUUGAAUUUUGCAUAAGUACAUAAAGUUCUGCCUUGCAGAAAUUCCUCCACUAGAUCUCGUGCGUUCGCUAGGUUCUCCUCCGGUUCCCAUGUUACUUCGCAGUGUGGAAAUCCUUUCCACUUCACAUGGAACUCUCUCACCUUGCGUCCUUGUCGCUUGCUCUUGCGCGCAUUGAGGAUGGCCUCGACUUCGUAUUCCUCUUCCCCUUGGAUAACCUCAGGUAAAGGUCUCACUUGGUCCUUGCGAAGCGGAUCCUCAAAGUACGGCUUGAGUAAGUUCACGUGGAACACUAGGUGCAUCUUCCCCAUCUCUCGAGGAAGUCGGAGUCGGUAAGCCACUUUACCGAUUCGUGCCUCAAUUUCAUAAGGCCCCGUGAACCUGCUUAAGGAACUCAAGAUCAAUUCAUUUACAGGAAUACAUGCGUCUUUACCUUUGGGUCAACUUUCGGCUGAUCCAGCUUGGUAGUCUGAGGUUCUUGGUGUUCAGCCACACCUUCUCCCCAGCUUGGAACUCCACAUCCCGACGCUUUUGGUUCGCGUACUUAGUUUGCCUUUGUUGAGCCCGUUCCAAGGAAUCCCUCACUAGAUUCCAAAUGUUGAGUCUUUCCGCCGUGAAUGCCUCCACUGCGGGUAACUCUCCAUGAUACUCGGCCACGCCGAGUUCCACAGGACCUUCAAUAGCUCGCCCAUUGAUGACUUCCCAUGGACUCACCCCGAUGCUUGAGUGUGGUGAGUUGUUAUAACACAUUUCCGCAAGUCCCAAAUGACUUACCCAGUCGGUCUGGUCUCCCGAGACAUAGCAUCGCAAAUAAUCCUCCAGCUGCCUAUUCACCCUUUCCGUUUGUCCGUCUGUCAAGAAGUGUUAGUGCCAUCAAUCUUGACUUAAUACCCAUUACCUGUCUGUGGGUGAUAGGCUGUGCUGAAUUUCAAUUUGGUGCGAUACUGUUCUAGGAGUGUCCUCCAGAACCUACUAGUGAAGAUCUUAUCUCGAUCUGAGAUAAUCUCUUCCGGCCUUCCCCACACUCGAACCACUUGUUCAAAGAACAGCUUCGCCACACCUUCCGCAUCCACGUCCGUUGUGGUGGGUAUGAAAUGUGCCAUCUUUGAAAAUCGGUCCACCACCAUGAAUAUCGCAUCGAACCCCUCGCUUGGGGGUAGUCCCGUGAUGAAGUCCAUCGUAAGACAUUUCCACGGGCGAUCUGGAAUUGGGAUGCUUUACAACAAGCCCCCACUAGCCUUAGUCACGGCUUUGACCUGCUGACAUGUUGGACAUGUCUUUACAUAGUCUUGGACGUCCUUAGCCAUAUCUGGCCAAUGGUACUUCCUCUUGAGUAAGCCCAUCGUCUUGGGCACUCCGCCGUGUCCCGCAAGAGGUCCGUCAUGACACUCUUCUAAGGCCACUUUCCUUAGUUCCCCUUCUGGAACAUACACCCUCGUUUGCUUGUAAUAAAUGAGUCCGUUGCGUUCCGCAUAGCCCGUUUUCUCUUCCGUUGGCGGCUCACCUCUCUGGUGAGCUUCCCACGCCUCUAGAUUCCUCAGCAACACUUCUUGUGCUAGACCAUCGUUCUCAUAUGCUGUCCGCACAUUGUCCCAGAAGGUUGCUGUUGCGCUGGAUAUUGCCAACUUCAAGCUCGCUUUUCGACUUAGCGCAUCCGCCACGAUGUUGCUCUUCCCAGGCUUGUACAGAAUUUCGCAAUCAAACUCGGCCAAAGCAUUAGCCCACCGACCUUGUUUCCCUCUUAGGUCGGGCUGUGACAAGAAGUGUUUCGUUGCCACAUUGUCCGUGUAAACCUUGAAGUGUCUCCCAAGGUAGUGUCGCCACUCCUUGAGUGCCUUGACCACCGCAAACAAUUCCUUCUCAUGGGCAGGCCACUUCCGUUGAGCCUUGUCCAGCUUCUUCGAGAAGAACGCUACCGGAUGGUUGUCUUGCUUCAGAACUGCGCCCAACGCAAAGUCCGAAGCAUCCGUUUCUACCUCAAAGUCCUUACCAAAGUCUGGCAAUGCCAAUACGGGAGCCUUCCUCAACUUCCCUUUGAGGUGGACAAAUGCCGCCUCGCAUUCUACUGUCCAUACCAUCUUCCCUUUUCCUGUUUGGUCCGUUAAGGGCAGGGCUACUCUCGAAUAGUGUCUGAUAAACUUUCGAUAGUAGUUGCAUAGCCCCAGGAACGCCCUCAACUCAUGUACAUUCGAUGGUCGCUCCCAUUCCUGGAUCGCUUGGACCUUCUCCGGGUCCACCUUGAGCCCGUCCUGGCCCACCACAUGCCCGAGAAACUUUACCUCUUGUUGAGCAAAGUCACAUUUGCUCUCUUUAGCAUACAGCUUGUGUUCCCUUAGUUUCUCAAACACCUUCGCCAAGUGUUCGGCAUGCUCUUCUAGCGUCUCGCUAUAGAUCAGGAUGUCGUCGAUAUAGACGACCACGAAGUGAUCCAGAUAGGGUACAAAGACAUGGUUCAUUAGCGCCGAAAACGUUGCCGGCGCAUUACAUAGCCCGAAGGGCAUCACCAGAAACUCAAAGCUCCCAUACCUCGUUCGACAGGUUGUCUUCUCGACAUCUUCCUCGGCUACCCUGAUCUGGUAGUAUCCUGACCUUAGGUCAAUCCUCGAGAAGUAUUUUGCCUUUCCCAACCUAUCGAACAGGUCCUCAAUCCUUGGCAAAGGGUACUUGUUCUUCUUUGUAUACUUGUUGAGCAAGCGGUAGUCUAUGCACAUGCGCAUAGAUCCAUCUUUCUUUUUCACAAAUAACACCGGCGCCCCAUACGGCAACUUGCUCAACCUAACAUACCCUUUGUCCACCAACUCCUCUAGUUGGCACUUGAGCUCCUUGAGUUCUUUUUCGUUCAAACGAUAAGGGGGACGAACCACUGCCUCAGCACCCUCGACCAGCUCAAUCUUAUGUUCUAUCGGUCGUGCUGGGGGCAGCCCCGCCGGUAGCUCCUCCGGCAUGGUAUCCUGGAAUUGGUCCAACACCCGCUGGAUCACUAAAGGCACUUCUUCCGUUCUUGUCUUUUUGUCACUCUUCACCGAGAGUAAGCACAAAAAGGCUGCCUUAGUUCCUUUAGUGAGUUGUCCUCUCGUGGACACCAGGUUUAAGCAGGAUUCUUUGGCCUUGCUUUGCCCUACCUUUAGAUCCUGGGCUUCCACCCUAGAUCUUCUUCCUUGGGCAUUCGCCAGUACCACAAGGUUCCUACCUUGUCCAUGUAGGGCUACCACGAACCGAUUGAACCAAUCCAUUCCGAAGAUCACGUCAAAUCCCGCCAUGUCCAACACGGUGAAAUCCAUGUCUACCUUCCAUGUCCCUACUUCGACUUUCGCUUGUCGAAGUACCUCAUCGGUGCUUUGGCUACCUUGAACAAACUCUAUAGUCCUUGGUUCGCCUAGCCGCUGCACCGUUAGUCCGGCUUGCCGGACUAUGUCUGCAGCCACAAAAUUAUCCGAAGCACCCGUGUCAAUAAGGAUCUUAACAAAGCUACCUCCGAGCUUCCCUCGGAGGGCUAGUAGAUGUCGCGAACGACUCUCUACCAAAGUUGCUCGUGUAAUGAGUAACUUUGAGUUAGGGACUGGAUCACAUACCUCAUUUUGGACUUCGCCCGACUUGAUGGCCAUAUUGGCUCUGGCCUUCUUCGGGUAGGGACAUUCCCUCGAAAAGUGUCCCGCUUCACCGCAGUUAUAGCAUACGUUGUUUCCCACGCUGCUAUAUGACUUGACCUUCUUAUCCGUGGGUUUGUCUCUUUUCGCUUGACUCCCCCACGUACUUGCUCGCUGGCCACCGGAUUUGCCUUUCCGAAAUCCCGAGGACUCAUUCUUAGAGAAACUCUUCUUGAAUUUCCCCCUGCUAUAUGUUCCCCUCGGUUUGGCCCCUUUGUGAAACGUGGAUCCCGACCCCGUCGUGUUCCCCUUUCGCAGGUUAUCGUUGAAAUGCACCUUGAUGGCCGCAUCCAACGCUUCCUUGUAGUUGGUCGGGUUCCAGCGCAUCACCUCACCGCGAGCCCAGGUUUGCAAACCUGAUAUAAACGCAUGGAACGCAUCCAUAUCCCCCAUGUCCGUGACAAGUAUCCUCUUUGCCAUGAACCCAUUCACAUAUUCCUGGAUGGUUCCAGUCUGCUUCAGCCUACUCAGCUCAUCUCUCAGAUGCAGAGUGGCAUUCGGAGGAACGUAUGUCGCGCGGAUCCUCGCCUUCAUCAUGUCCCAGGUGGCCACCGGUCCUUCGUUGGCCUCCGUUGUUCUCCACCAAGACUUGGCAUUAUCUGCCAAGUAUGGUUUUGCACAUGGGACCUUCUCCGAGCUCGGUAACCGUAACGCUCGGAAGUAGUCCUCCAUAUCGUAAAACCAAUCCUCCACAACCUUAUAGUCGUUCACUCCCUUGAACACCGGUGGGGGCUUUGGUUUGUACUUGGGAACUGCCUGAGGGACUGAUUCCACUUCGGUCUGUUCGACCUUGUCUGGUUUUGCCUCAGUCCCUGCCGAAGGGUCCGCACCUUCUGCGCUGCCAGCAAUCCGCCUCUAUCCUUCGCUAGAACUGAGGAGAAGGCUCCGAUACCAAAUUGUAAGCCACAAAUUUUUCCUUUCCACUUUGCCAGCUUACCUCGCCUAUCCGUCCAACACUGCCUUGGCUUUUGCUAAGUUCCCUCGCCAAGGUUCUCGCCUAUGGUACCAGCUCCUACUUGGUUUCAGCUACUCACUGCACGAGCAAUGGAGUGUUAGCCAUCCUUCCAUGGAUUCCCAAAUCACUCCCAAUCCCCCUCCCCGGGUUAGACUGGACUUAAGGUUCGGCUACACUCCCCGCAAGCACAAGCAGCCAAUCACACCAAGCUUCCAGGUUCCUAACAUCCCUUGGCACCACAAGACUUGAUCAUGGGACCCUCUAAAUCCCAAGUCUUGAGUGCAACACUUGCUUCGGGACGCCGGGGCGAAACACCGUGGCCUAGCGGCCCGGUAUGGGUACCUCUCGCCCCCCACUUCCAUCCCGAAGGAAGGCCCAAGCCCUUAGGAAGGGCGAGGACCAAUGAGCCGCAUGGUACUCAAGUGGGGCACCACUCCACAUGAGCCGGGAGCACCGCAAUCGGUUUCCCUUUCGGGAGUGGGAGCUGCUCUUGAGCACUUCCUUGGAUGGCCCCUCCGGCACCAGCCAAGUCCAUGCUCACUCCCACCCAAGGCCCCUCGGUCCCAGUCCCAACCUCAAGUCGGUUUGGAAGCCCAACUGGAGAGUCCCUUCAAAACUGGUUCCUGGACCUCACUAUCCCUACUAUACUUUUGGAACCCCCUGCAGCCCCCCCGCCCCCUGGGAGACGCACGCUUUGGGCUUUCACCCCUUGACCCGUAUUAGUAUUUGGACUUAGUCUCUGGCUCGAUCUCGGACCCGAUUUCGGAUCCGACUUCGGAUUCGGGUUCGGACUCGAUCACGGACUCGAUCUCGGACCCGAUCUCGGACCCGACCUCGGACUCGACCUCGGACUCGGUCUCGGACCCGAUUUCGGAUCUCGGACUCCGUCUCGAACUCGGUCUCGAACUCGGACUCGAACUCGGUCCCCGAGUCGGUCUCGGACUCGAUUCCGGACUCUAUCUCGAACUCGGUCCUAGAGUCGGUCUUGGACUCGAUCCUCGACUUGGUCCCAUCCGAUGAACUCUUUGUCACUUCGGUCAAGCUUUUGGGGAUCCUUUAGCCUACGACAUCUCGGGGAGUCGGUUCCUUACAUGCUUCUCGAACUCCAUCUUGGAGUCCUUCUCAAACUCUUUUUUAAACUCUAUUUCAGACUCCUUUUUGGACUCAUUCUUGACACUUCUUAUGUAUCAAUCCUUUUUAUAUCCCUUUUUAAAGAUUUAUUCAUCAAUUACUUUGUGCUCAUCCCUCAAGCACUUCAUUUGGAGUUCUACUCCUACUCUCGACUUUCCAAGUUGGAGCUUUUGGUCUAAACAUGUUAUGCUUGUUGAAUUUCUACUUCGACCAUUAUCACGUGGAACCUUUUCAAUUCCACUUUGGGGCUUAAGGAUUUGUGUUUCACACAUUGUUGUGCUUUUUGAGAUCUAUAAAUGCUCGCUCACAAUCCAUGUACCAAAUGAAAGAUAAUGUUGACAAUUUGACUCCUUCAAUUUUAGUGUACCCUAAUUCCAUUUAACCUUUAAUUUUGCAUAUGGAUGCUUGUGAUAUUGGUCUUGGAGGUGUGUUGAUGCAAAAAAUCUUAAGUGUGUUUAGUCAGCACUAUCCCAUUGCAUAUAUUAGUCAUACAUUAUAACUAGUAAAGGUGGAGGUGAACUAUUCCACAACAGAGAAUGAGUGUUUAGUAGUAGUUUGGGGUUUUGAGAAACUUUAUGCAUGAAGGUGAUCAUGUUGCAAUUACUUUGUUAUUGAAAUAAAAGUACUUAGUUGGUCAUAUUGCUUAGUGGGAUUUGAAGCUUUAAAUAUAUAAUUUUGAUGUUAUUCAUUGCCUAGGGAGUUUUAUGGCUAAUGUUAAUGCCCUUUCUCAAACUCUUCUUCCUUCUUUACCUCUUUUUAUGUUUCUAACAAACUUGUUAUUCCAACAUUUGUGGUGUUUUUGGACAAGAAUUCCAUACCAUCAAUACUUGUUGUACUUGAUGUUUAAUAUCCACAAGGUGUGGAGCAAGAUUCACAUUCUUUUGAUGAGGUUCAUAAGGCUCAAAAGGUUGAGUUGUGAAUCGCAAAGCUUUAGGAUUAAAAAUCUUGCAUCACUUGUUAAUAAUUUACCAUUUUAGCAUUUACAUUCUCAAUAUUGCCUUAAGAAUGACGUUAUUUAUUUUGUGGGGAUAGAUUUUGAUGAUCAUUUAUGACUAAUGAUGCCUUUGAUCUUUAUUCCAUGUUUUCUCUACACCUACUAUUAUUUUUCUAUUUUAGGCGAGUAUAUAUGUGACUAAGAAAUUUCAUAGAUCUUUGUAUUGGACUUUAGUAUGUCUGUAGCUGCAUUUGUUGCCAAAUUCGUAAUACUCCUUCUCAUGCUGCAAAAGGAGAAUUAGAGUUAAUUACAGUUUCUCAUAUAUUUGAGCUGGUGAUAUUUAAUCUGAUAAAGGGAUUUUUUAGGGUGGAUUGUUAGCAAUGAGUAUAUUAUUAUUGCUUUUGACUAUUUGACUCACUAGAUAGAAGUCUGUGCUUUUGCUAGUGCAUCUACAACUGUUGUUGGAUACUUCCUUCUUAAUUUAGUGGUGUUUCAAUACUUUUGUCUAGAGUGAAUUCUUUUGGAUAAUGAUCCCGCAUUUAUGGCUGAAGUAUUUCAUGUUUUAACGUCUUAGUUGGGGAUACAUCACACUUUCAUGAGUGCUUAUCAUCCAUAGUCAUAUGACUUGAUGGGACAGCUUGUUUGGACCUUCAAAGGGAUGAUUGUAAAAUACAUGAACUUUCAGUAUUUGGAUUGAGAUGGUUAUUUACCGUCUCUUUAGUAUGCAUAUAUCACAGAGGUGUAGAGUUCUAUUAUUGCUUUACCAUAUAAACUUUUAUGUAAUCAUGAUCUAAUAUUACCAACGGAGUUGAGUUUACCUUCACGAUUGCCAUGAGCUACUGACGUUAAAUCUUAGGAUUAGUAUUUAACAAACAUUCUUCCACUGGUCUGGAUAGAGUUUACUAAACACUUCAGCCACAUACAAGUGGGACAACAGUGACAGUAUAACUCCCAUCAUUGUCCAUUUGUGGAGUAUAAAGUGGAUGUUGAGCAAAAAACCCUUUAAAUAAACCACAUACUGUAAGAUUGGGAAAACAGACUAAUAUUAACUUGUUUGAUUGAGGUGCAUCAAUGAAGCUGUGGCGGCAUCAUCUGUGGCUGAAAUAUGUGAAAUAGAAGAAAUUGUAUCAUGUGUUGGGGCAAAUUGGACUGCAAGUUUAUAAGGUUUAGCAUAAUAUUUAAUAAAUAAAAAUUGUGCAUAUAUAAUGGUUAAAAUACUUUAUACAAAGGGAUAAAGAACAAUUAACACCAUUUAUAGAUCCACUAAUGCUUCUUCCUAAUGUUCCUUUAGAUCCUGGCCCAUCCAUUAGAGAGCCCUAAUUGUCUUUUAUCAUUGGGGAUGAUAUGUGGUCCAAGUGUAUGGUUACAAUGCCAUAUACUAAUACUAGAAUAAUGGGAUUUUGAGAACUAUUAAAUUGAUUUCAAUUUAGACUAUUCACUUUUAUAUAUAAGUUUUUGGGCUAAUUGAUAUACAUUUUUGUAUUCCAUUUCCAUAUUCCAUGCACUCAUAAUUUGUAUAUAGUAUUAUAAUAUGUGUAUAUAAUUAUUAUUUAUUUAAAAAUAAGUCUUCAUAGUUUUAUGUUUUUACUCCUUACAAAAAUGGUAAGGUAGAUAUCAUAUUUGACACUUGUAUAAUUAUUUAAUUAGUAAUUUUUUCUCUUUUUAUCUAUUUGAUAAAAUUGUCAUGCUGCUUUUAUUGUUAUUCUUGUUACCUCUUUAGCUUCAUCCUAAUUAAUUUUAAUAUAUAUAUUCAAUUGGUCUGUAUAAUAUAUACUUUUUAGUGUUUGUGCUCUUGAUAAUGUUAUAUAUGCUUGUCUUGGAUUUUUUGUUUUAUAUGGGUUAUAUCCUAAUUUUUUCUUAUUGAUCCUAUUUAUUGUUCUUCUUACAUAUGUGGUUGUAGUGGAAAUUGUGUUUUACUUAUAACAUGAUUUUGAUUUUACUUGUUUUUAAUAUUCUUGUUAUUUUUCUUACUGUAUCCAUGUUUUUUUUAUUAUUUUGAUGUACUAUUAUAUGUCUGGUGUAUGGAGACAUCAUUUUUGGGUCAACAUAUUUUUAUUGUGUAAAUUGGUGCUUUUGCUUCAAAUAUAGGAUUUAUUUGAUAAAAACAUGCUAAUCCAUCCCACCAAUGUCUACUGCAAAUGUUGGUUUGAAGCUUUCCCAUGUUCUCUUUAUAUCCUAUACCAUAUUUCUAAGCAUUUUAUUGUUGAAAAUCAUGUUUGGUAUUUUUCUAACAUGUUAUUUGUUAAUAUUAUUUGAUAUUGUUUUGAUGUUUCUGGUCAAAAUGCAAAAGCUGAAUAGAUUUUUGAUCCAUUUAUAUUAUAAACUACUUUUCUUGUAUAUUAAUAUUGUUUCAUUAUUUAUAUUUUGGUUUAUUUUAUAAUAUCAUUUGAGUGUCACAAAUCUGUUUCUAUAGUGUAUUUAUAAGUAUUUAUUUUUGAAUUGCACAGUUUAAUUUUUCUUUUAACUAGGAGAGAGGAAACACAUAUUGGUUUGCCAAAGCUUCUCUAAUGCAGCUGCACUGAGGUGUAGGACCACUUAAUAUCCAUCUAUACAGAACCAAAUUGUGUCAUCUAAACAAAACAAUUUGGCCACUAAAUGCAAAGCAAGACUCCUUGGCUGACACAAAGUUCCCAUUCUGAGCUCUCCUGUAACACUGGUUUUCUGCCCUAAUUUGCCCAACCACUAUUUGGUAUUGAAUGGUGUUUUUGGGUUGUAAUUGGGAGCAAGCAAUUUGCACACAGAUAGUGAGGUAUCGGUUCUAGGCACAAUCAAGAGAAAAUUGAGUUAUUGUUUUUGCCAUAGCAUGCACAAAGUCAGGGAAGGCUCAAACCCAUAUUUAAUGUUAAUUUGGCAUUGGCUGCUGCCACUUUUUUAUCAUUUCAAGUGUGUUGUGAGUGAAUACAUUAUUUAUAGAUCUCCAAGAGGUUGAAUUUUCUUGCAGUGAUCUCCAUAUUUCUGUGGAAGAGAGCUUUAUAAAUCUCAAUCAUAUUAUCUCAUGGCCAAUUUUAGAGAGACCUCAAGCUUGAACAGCUUAUUUGAUGAAAUUGCAUGAUCUAGUUGAUAACAUAUUGUCCAAUAAUCUUCCAAAAGUAUAAAUGACAAUGAGGACACAGAUUAAUAAUGUUAACAUGGUAUAUGUUCUUUUGAAAAAGGGAUUUCUAAAAAGGUUUUAGCAUCCAAAUCUAGACUUAGAUCAAUGUGCAAAAUGAGCGAAUUACGUGUUUAAGGAAUUCUUAUAAGUGAUUAAUAAUGUAUAUCUUUAAAUAUUUAAGUAUUUUUAAUGUAUAUUCUAAAUAUACACUGAUGUGCCAGAUUGAAAAGAACCCUUGGAUUGCAGAGCAGGUGAGGUAUCACUUGAUUGACUAGGACUUUUACAUAGGGAGAUUUGCAAGCCUCCACAACAAGCAGAUAAAUAUCGGAAUGGAUCUGUAGGCAAGAAGCUUCUCCACUGUGCACAUGGAUUUCGACAUGAAAUCCGUUUUGGCCGCACGAACGCUUCCUGCUGAGGAAAUGUGCAACGAGGUUGGGGAAGAUUCGUUAGAGGAUAUGACAAGGCUCUUAUAGUCCAGAAGAAGUUGCAAUGUUCUAUGGUUGAUGCACUAUGUUGCGGAGUAUAGCUAUCGGUUGAUUGACCAAGACUGUUAAGUAGGGAGCUUUACUUUAGAAAGCUGGAGGAGCAGCAAGAGGAUCCUGCAAUGAUUGAUUGGGCAAACAAUUGCAUUGGCAAAGCGAUCAUCGGGUACAACCGUUGCAGAAUGAUUGUAAGGAUGCUCGAGCAUCAGCCCCAUAGUAUGUGGCCUCGAUUAUCUCCACGUUUAUGCAUUUCAAAGGACUCCUGAUACAGGUAAAGACUCGCUUCGCUUAUUUAAUUUAGACGGGUGUGACUAAGUUGCUUCCAUGGAUGUUCAGGCACAAUCGGUGUCACACUGGAAUGGCAAUACUAAGUAUCGUGUUGCUGUGGCAAUGGUCUAGGCCUCUAGAUUAUAAAGUUCUAGAGGAAAACAUCUCUUAAUCUCAUAUAAAUGUGGUGUGGACUUGUGGAACACAUUCUCACCAUAAACAAAGUUUCUUUUCACAAGCAUCUGAUUUACCAGCGGUGGAAAAACUAUAUGCCAUUCUUCCAAGUGUCUUAGAAGAAUACUUCCCCCUAGGUUCCGCAGAUCUUGAUUCCAUGACUGGUUAAGAUCACUUCCACUUUCUGAUGCAGGCAGUGACGGAAAAAAAAGAGCAAGAAGUUGGUGUCGUCAAGAAAUGAGGGAUCAAUUCUUCAACACGCGCGUCAAAACCAUUGGUGUUGAAUCGCUAUAGUCAGAUGUAUAUCCCUUUAUAUUCUGGGGAAGUUUGAUUGUGUACCUGUACAAGGCUUCACUAUACAGUGGAACUUUCUCAGCGAGGCCUGAUUCCUCUAGGUCCUCGUUUCGAGCCUCUUUUACCGGGUGGUAGGAAACCAUAGUCGACUGCUAACUGGUCCUCCUCCUCUAGCGUGAGCUUCCUACCAGUCGAGUGGGAUUGUUUCCCCAUGUAAUUCACCCAGUUCUCGGCCAUCGCAUCUUUGUCGGGAAUGUAGCCUGCUUAAGAAAACUCGCAACUUUUUCUAUCUCGAGAAACUUAAACAGCGUACCUAUCUUUGAUACCCAGUUGUUUUCUUCCUGGAACAAGGAGCUGCCAAGCUUGAUAGAGGAUUUGCUGGCCAUCACCAGACUGGAAACAUCCGACCGCUCGUGCUCCUCCUUGUCAUACAGUCGCUUCUCGAUGACAACUCUAAAGUUUUCAUCUCUUGUUCGCAUCUGCAAUCGACAAGGCUUCAUGUUACACUUUGGAGGCAGAAAGAAAAUUUAAUUGGUUCUCUACCUCAACGACGGGUUGCUUUCCCUGUAGAAGAUUGUCUACGCUCUUGUCCGACUGAGAAAAGCGAAAAACAGAUGGAUCCAGAGAUCGAAAAACAUAUUGUUUGUACCUGGUGUGCUAUCCAGUGGCUCCGCUCUCUCAUCUCAAUGAGUAUUGAAAAUGUCGGUGGAGCUUUCCUUUCGAGCACGGUUUUCUGCGUACCUCUUGCUCGUGCUUCGUCAUCACCUAAAGUCACUGUUUGGAUGCCACCAACCUGAAAGAAAAAAAGAAGAAAAAAAGCUCGUAAGGACGAACAAGAGCAUCACGCAGAAGAAAAACUAUAAAUGCGAUUUGAUGUACCAAGUCAGAAAGCGUGGGAUUCUUGAUGAUGUUCUCCAGUGUCUGCCCAUGCGCAGUAGCAACCAGCAUCACUCCUCUUUCGGCAAUUGUCCGGCAGGCAAGAGCCUCUGCUUCCGUCCCAAUCUCGUCCACGAUCACAACUUGUGGCAUAUGGUUCUCUACGGCUUCCACCAUAACUCUGUGCUGCAUUGACGGAUCUGGCACCUGCAUUCUUCGUGCACCACCGAUGGCCGGGUGUGGCACGUCUCCGUCACCACCAAUCUCAUUGCUGGUGUCCACCACCACCUGAUAGCAUCCAUCAUAGCAUUAGACCAUUGUCACGGACUCUCCUGGCCUCUCUGAAAUGGAAAAGCGCAAAAAAGAGGAAGAAAAGAAAGAUGUCCUGGGUGUGUAAGCACCACUCUCUUGCGUAGAUCAUCAGCAAGGACCCGCGCAAUCUCUCGGAUAACAGUUGUUUUUCCAACACCGGGUCUGCAGAAACAAGUUUUGAGCGAGAGGCGAAGUUUCACGAGAGUUCUGACCUGCCAAGGAAUAGAAUGCUUUUUCCACAGUCGAGGAGGUCGCGAACCAUGUCAACAUGUCCAGUCACAGCUCUCCCAACACGGCACGUCAAGCCGAUGAUCACGCCUUUACGGUUGCGAAUGGCUGAUAUUCUGUGGAGUGUUCCCUCGAUUCCUGCUCGAUUAUCACUUCCAAACUCCCCCACUGCAGCCUCGGCUGCUUGGAGAUCAUCCCUCGUUAUCUGCAAUGCAAAAAAUGAAAAAAGAAGUAUAGCAGAGUAGCUUAAGUCAAAUGGAUGGAAGCGAGUGGUUUACCUCAUUGUCUCGUAAGUAUUCUCCACCUCUGUGUUUUAGAAAACGAGCCUCGGGACGACGUCCAAGAUCCAAGACCACCUGUGAUGUGAUAUACCAUCGCUAGAAAUUCUUAGCUACUAUACCAACACACACAAACCUCCAAGAGAUCCCCGCGCUUGGGAUGCUUCAAGAGAUUUUGACGAAUGCCUUCGGGAAGGAUCUGCAAACAAAGAAGAAGAUAUGAAGCAUCUUUCAUGGAAGCGUGGAAUUCUUCUACCUCCAAAAGAACAUCCAAAUCGUCCUGGACGAUGAUCGCGCCAUCCUCCAUAACUCUUUGCUCCAAUGGACCAGCUUCCAACUCAUCAUCCUGCGAAGCCAGCGACUUCACAGCACGGAGAACUCUCCGCCGCCCUCGAAAGCUCCUCGGGAGAGACGUGACUUUGCACGAAUCCAAAACUUUGGAUCCAUUCCUCGCGAAAGCCGACCUCUCCGACGGAACGAAUGAGCGCCGGAGCCCAGCGGAGGGGCAGCAAACGCCGUAAUGCAUUCUCGCAAGAACUCCACCCGCCACUCCCUAGCUAAAAAUCUGCAAGGAUGGAUGGAUGGAGCAUCCACCAGGAAAUCUCUCCUAAUCCCAAUGCGGGCAUCAAAUACCUCGAUUUGGAGGCGCUGGAUCGAUAGAUCACUGUUCUAUCACGAAAUCGCAACCUCGCCCUUGCGCGAGGGCUCCUUCCCACGAAGAUGAACUCCCGGACCUAAAGAAAGUCACAAACGUUGUCUCUUUCUACACGAAUGCCCGGGAAUAUCCCACCACGGCAUAUCUCCAGAGAUUCCAUUCUCUUGUGUUAUGUUAAUGUUGGCCUGCAACCACGCGAGUAAAUUCAACGAUGGAGCUGGAGUGCAAAUUCAACUUGGAUCACAUCACCACCAAGAAAUUUACAACGCCCACCCGGGAUAGAAUUAAAUUACCUCUCGCUCCAUGCACACAAUGCACCACUGGAGCUUUUGAUGGAAUAAGAAAGGGAAAAAUGCGAGCUAGAUUUUGAUUCUAGCAGCAGCAGUGGCAUGGGACUCGAAUCGAGUGAAUUUGGGUUUCUUUUGAUUGUUCUGGCGAUUGUUCUAGCUUCUUCACAGUCGGAAGAAGGUAUGGAUGAUCCUGGAGAAGAAAAAAUUUCCAUGCCAAGUAGUUUAGUUCUUCCUCUUCAAUCAUCUUUCUUUCUUUAUAUUAUUCUAUCUUAUUUAGUUCUUAUUCUCAAUUAUUUCUACAUUUUUUGUGUGUGGCAGGCUUUGGCUACCAAGACAAUUCCCUGGGACCAGGGCAGUGGGGAUGCCUCGCCACAAACUUUUCGACGUGUAGAACAGGGACCCAGCAGUCGCCCAUUAACAUAAAAACGCGAGAUGCUAUCGAUGAUUGCUCGCUUGGAAAGCUGAGAUUCCAUUUCUCCCACUCCGCAGGAACACUCACCUCUCAGAAGUACCUCUACAGAGUAAAAACUCCUCUAAAUUCUGAUUGCUCGAGUCAACACUUUGAUCUU
This 47980-nucleotide long non-coding RNA is filed under the name Selaginella moellendorffii. RNAcentral describes it as "long non-coding RNA (SMOE_LNC001872)". Lineage: Eukaryota; Viridiplantae; Streptophyta; Lycopodiopsida; Selaginellales; Selaginellaceae. The record is from RNAcentral.